UCUGAUUGAUUCCUUCAUUGCGCAACACGUCCUAACAUUCAUUCUCAUUCCUCUUUGGAAGCCGGGCACUGGACAAGAUUGUAGAGAAACACAGGAAGAGGCGCAGGGAUGAGGCCUUGGCCUGUGGUGCUGGCUUCAGUCUUGGAGCACUCACCUUUUUGCUUGGGGUCCAUAGGCUCGGUUUAAGGGAGAUGGCUCAAUGGUGAAUGACUGGAAUAUCUAUCCUGCACCGCAUGUUCUACUAUCUACUACUGCACCCGCAAGUUCUACUAUCUACUAGUGCUAUAUCCUGCACCGCAAGUUCUACUAUCUACUAGUACUAUAUAUAUCAUGCAUGUUUUAACUAGCCGGUGUACUCUGUAAUUCCUGGCUUGUGUGUUAUGUAAGAUCACUACUGUAUGUACAAUGGGGAUCCAGGUUCUGUGGGAUCUAAUUUCGGUGGUUGCAUGUGGGAUGUAAGGGCACUAUAUCGCCACUCUUAUCUGUUGUUAUCAGAGAUCUAUAUUCAGCCGUGUUGUUAAUCUGUUGUGGUGUUCUCAUGGUCUCAACCUUCGAGUAAUGAUUCGUAUGCAUUUUGCUCUAUGUUCUGUCUGAUUGCUUUGGCCGUGAAGUUUUGUGAAGGCCUCAUAUCUGUGACUUGUUAAUUCUUCUAGUUAGCUCACAUUUACCAGUAGUGGGGGAGCAAGAAUCCUACUGCCUCUGUUUCUAAAAGCAAGACGUUUUGGCAGUUCAAUUUAAACUGUCAAAACGUCUUGCAUUUUCACACAGAGGGAGUACCUAAUAAGCCCCUGCCAGCUCCAAGUGAAGCGGAGAAGCCUGUUCCCUUUGCAAUGUCGAUUGGCCUUUCUGUGCAAAGAGUUCUUCUUGUGCAAACCUUUUGGGCUGCAUUGGAGAAUGCUUUGGGAAAGAAGAGCACCAAUCCUGAGGUUAGCCCACUGUUGCCACUGGCAGAGCCAGGAAAAAUGAGUGAGAAGGCUGAGCAAAUCAUAUGGUUUGUGGAUGACGCAAAUGUCUAUCGUGACCAAUCAAUGGUGCAAUCUUUAUUCGUUUCUUCUUUUUUGCGAAAGAGUGCAAUCUUUAUAUUCAAUCCAAGGACUGGUCAACUAUUCCUGAAUGUUUGUUCAUUUCCUUUUUGCUUUGCUUUUAGUUCUAGUUUUGUUUAAUGGCAUAACUGUGGAGUUUGUUGCAUAUUUCUUGUAGUGAUGGAGGCGGGGAUAGUUAUGGAUAGGCCCUGCUUAAGUUGUUGGGUUAAAAUUUGAUAUUAGCAAUCGGAAUCAACGUGUGCAAUCCAUCUUCUUUCUGUUACCAGAGACACCAGCCAGAUGGCUUAGAGUCUCCUCAUGUUCUUAGCAAUAUAGUUAUUGUGAUUAAAUUAGCAAUAUAGUCUCAAUUGCUGGAAUUUCUAAAUGUUCUUCUAGAGUCUUGAUUUUGAGAUUUCGGAUAGAUAGAUAGAUGCCAAAGUUGGUUAAACCUUCUAUAUUUAGCUUCAGGUUUUGAACUGGAAAUACCAAACUGUACCAAUGAACACCACUCAUCCAAACAGGAUGAAGUACUUGUUUUUGGAAAUCAUCAUGUGGCAUCCAGUCCAGAAUCUCUCUGUUGACCUAGACAGACUCAAUAGAUGUUUUUAGAUGAAAUUAUCAAUGUCAUUUUAGUUUCAGCAGCCUGCAUUAGCUGCUCCCAUUUUUAACGAUUCAAACUCAACUGCAUGUAGGCACCGGCUAAUGCUGACCUCGACUGCUUUGGCCCAGAGUUUCGGUAAGGCACUAGACAUGCAAGAUUGUCAUCUGAUUGAUUCAUUCAUUGCGCAAUACAUCCUAACAUUCACUCUCCUUCCUCUUUGGGAGCAUAAAAGCACCGGAGAAGAUUAUAGAGCAACACAAGAAGAGGCGCAGGGACGAGGGCUUGGCCUGUGGUGCUGGCUUCAGUCUUGGAGCACUCACCUUUUUGCUUGGGGUCCGUCGAUUCGAUUGAACGGAUGGGUCAAUGCCUGGGAUAUCUAUCCUGCACCGCAUGUUCUACCAUCUACUACUAUAUCCUGCACCCAACGUUCUACUAUCUACUACUCCCUCCAUUCCACACUGUAGUGCGCCUGCGUUUCCCGAGAUCUACGUUUGACUGUAAAUUUAACCAACGAGACCGAUUGCGGCGGGAGCAAAAAUUAUAUCACUGAAUUCAUACCGAAAAUACGAAUUUAGUGGUAUAAUUUUUGCUAGUGUACUAUCUACUACUAUCCUGCAUGUUUAAUUAGCCAGUGUACUCUAUGAUUUUUGGCUCGUGUGUUAUGCAAGAUCACUGCUCUAUGUAUAAUGGGGAUCCAGGUUCCGCCGGAUCUAAUUUCGGUGGUUGCAUCUGGGGAUGUAAGAGCACUCUAUCGGGACAUUGAGUAUUUGAUCCCGAGCUCAUAUGCUUCACAUGAACAGUAAAAUGUACUCCCUCUGUCCCAAAAUAUAAGAACGUUUUUAACACUACACUAGUGUCAAAAACGUUCUUAUAUUAUGGGACGGAGGGAGUAAAAAAUAGUAAAAGAAUUCAAAAAAAAUCUGAUUUUUUUUUGUGAUGAACAUUGAUGAAUUUUCUAACUGCAUGCAAAAUUUCAGGUUGAAUGACAUUCGUGUAGGCCUGGGCCAAAAAAAUAAAAUCGAUGGUCCAAAAAGACUAUUGUUAGAAGCAUUUUGGAACAUCAAUUUUGUUAUUUUUGCCCAGACCUCCAUGAAUGUUAUUUUGACCUGAAAUUUUGCAUGCAGUUAGAACAAUCAUCACAAAAAAAUUCCGAUUUUUUUUAUUUUACUGUUCAUGCACGAGCAUAUGAGCUCAGGAUCAAAACAACACUUUUGCACUCUAUCGGCACUCAGAGAUCUAUACUGAGCCGUGUUAUUAAUCUGUUGUGGUAUUCUCCUGGUCUGAACAUUCGAGUAAUGAUUAUGAGGGAUCGUAUGCAUUUUGCUCUUUGUUCUGUAUGAUUGCUUCGGCUGUAAAGUGUUGCUAGGGUGCUACGAAGUCCAUGUAAGGGACUUGUUCAUUCUGCAGGUUAGCUUACACUAGUCAUCAACCGGCACGGGCCAGCUAUUUGAGUGCCUCUUAAAUGUUUAUACUAUUUGUAACAUGUUAACUUUUUUAGGAAUAUAAAUUUAUUCACAAUAAGUUUAGGAGUAUAUAAUUAAAAAUCAAGAUACAGAAUAUACACCAGUAAGAGUUAUUUAAGCUUCAAUCAAAAGUGAAACUUAUAGAAAUGAAUGAAUAGUGGUCAGCUUAAUGAAAAUGUUUCAUAUUAUAUAUAUAAACAAGGGAACACAAUUUAUUUUCUAAAAAGCGGAGCUUAUAUCUUAGCAGAUUAUCAACAACAAAUUUGCACUGAUCAUAGAUGCAGCCUUGUUUUCUGAACAAUAACUAAAAUCAUCAACAUUAAAAAUCCCAACUAUUGUGUUGUGGUUGGGGGAUCCUGCAACAUUAUAGAUGUAAUGCUUGCCAUUUAAAAUAAAAGGCACCGGUAUUGGUGUUCAAUAUAAAAAGUAGUGUAUGAAGUGGCCUAGAGAGAUUACAAAUUAAAUAUUUAUCAUCACUGAAUCCAAAGCCAUGUUUAUACUUUCCUCUCAAUCAGGAUUUCACAUUGAAUAUUUGUACAUCUUUUUAAUAUAUUUUAUCAUUUUUUCCUUUUUUUGGUUCACAGCCCUUCUUGACAAUAUAAAUAAAUGUAAAUUUGACCAAUUGAACUGAAUAUAUAAGUCAAUCAUUUAUAGAACAAUGCAAUAGAAAAAAGUAUCAUUUGCAAAAUGUUCUCUCAUUACAAGGUGGAGGUGCAGGAAUCGACAAGGCGUACGAGCGGCGGCAGAUAUGAAAUAAUGUGGGAGCGGCAUGCCGACCUCCCAGGCAUAAUAGCCAACGCUUGGGCAAAGAGGAAAUCUGAGGACUUAGGAGAUGUAGAGAAGAACCUAAAGAAUAUGAUGGAGUUACCUGAGUAGAGUAAACAACAUUUUGGUCAAGUAUCUAAAUAGAUAGAAGGCCUUAGAGCCGAGUUGGAGGCCCUGCAGUUGCAAAGGGCUGAAAGAUCAUUGAUCCAGGAAAAGAUGUUUGUCCUGGACGAGUUAUUGUACCGGGAAGAGAUGAUGUGGCUUUAGAGAUCCCGCAUAAGUUGGCUAAUGGAGGGUGAUCGCAAUACACAAUACUUUCAUAGGAAGGCAGUGUGGCGAGCCAGGAAAAAAAUUAUUCGUCAACUUCGUAAGGCCGACGACACUUGGGUGGACACACCUACUGAUAUGGAGCAUGUGGUGCAAUCAAUAUUUCGAGGAGCUAUUCACAAAUGAUCCAAUACUAUCAUCGGAUGAAUUGUUAGAGUGCAUCAAAACAAAAGUUACACAGAAGAUGAAUGAUGUUCUCAAUGCGCCGUUUACAGAGAAGGAAGUGGCUGAUGCAUUGUUUCAAAUAGGACCCAUAAAGGCCCCAGGUCUAGAUGGAUUCCCAGCUAGUUCUUUUCAAUGUAAUUGGCAAGUUUUGAAGGAGGAAGUGACACGAGCUGUGCUAAUUUUUUUUGCUAAUGGACAUAUGCCAUAAGGAGUUAACGAUACCGCAAUUGUUCUUAUUCCCAAGGUCCCCACCCUUGUGGACCCGAAGGAAUUUAGGCCAAUCAGCUUAUGCAAUGUAAUUUACAAGGUGGUGUCCAAAUGCACGGUUAAUCGACUCCGUCCCUUGUUGAUGGAGCUGAUAUCAAAAAAAUCAAAGCUCUUUCAUCCCGUGGCGUUUGAUUACGGAUAAUACUAUUAUUGCCUUCGAAUGCAUACCUCAUAUCCAAUUAGUUAAGGAGGAGCAAUCUUAUUGUCCUUAUAAACAGGAUUUUUCAAAGGCGUAUGACCGAGUGGAUUGGGACUUUCUAGAGAACGCUCUAGUCAAAGGGGCUUGUUAACAGAGUGGGUGAAGUGAAUUAUGGCUUGUAUUCGUUUGGUCAAAUAUUUAGUUAAACUUAAUGGGAGAUUGUUGUAUAAAUUGUCCCCCACCCGCGGCCUCUGACAAGGUGAUCCAUUAUCCCCUUUUUUAUUUCUAUUUGUGGCUUAUGCUUUGUCUGCACUGUUGCAUAAGGCUAUAUGGGAGGAGGGUUUGGAGGCACUAAAUAUUUGUAGAAGGGCUCCCGAGAUCUCAGACUUAUUAUUCGUGGAUGAUACUUUGUUAUUUUUUCACGCGAGACCAGAUAAAGCGGCGAUUGUCAAAAAAGUGUUGAACACACAUACUAAACCGACAUGGCAACUUAUCGACCAGUCCAAGUGUUCAAUCUUGUAGAAAAGAUAUGGGACGCAACUCAAUUGUAUUCCUCGGAGUAGGUCACAAUAUAUACAUGAGAUGUCUUGCGUGACAAGCCAAUUAAUCCUACCAUAUCUCUACAAGUCAACUAUACAAGGCUAGAGACUACAGAAAGAUUAACUGUAUGUAAAUACAUAUAUGUCACAUUCAACACCCCCCGUCCCCCGCAGUCAAAGCGUCGGCUAUGCAAAGACCGGAACGUAACUCCUGGAAUGCAGUGACCAUAUCCAAUCUAGACACUGUCAUGGAGGGGUUCACCACUUCCAUUGGUGCCUCUCCUAUGAUGCGUGAGUAGUUCUUUGUAGACCUACGGGUCCGUAGUUAGUAGCUAGAUGGAUCUCUCUCUCUCUCUCUCUCUCUCUCUCUCUCUUGAUUAUCAAUACAAUGGUCUCUUGGAGAUCCAUAUGAUGUAAGUCUUUUUGCGGUGUGUUUGUUGGGAUCCGAUGAACUUUGAGUUUAUGAUCAGAUCUAUGUUUUUAUCCAUGAAAGUUAUUUGUGUCUUCUUUGAUCUCUUAUAUGCAUGAUUGCUUAUAGCCUCAUAUUUCUUCUCUGAUAUUUGGGUUUUGUUUGGCCAACUUGAUCUAUUUAUCUUGCAAUGGGAAGAGGUGCUUUGGAGUGGGUCCGAUCUUACUGUGCUUGAUCCCAGUGACAGAAGGGGAACCGACACGUAUGUAUCAUUGCUACUAAUUAAGGAUAACAAGAUGAGAUCUAUAUCUCCGCAAUAGAUAAAUGGAUCUCGUCUACAUCAUGUCAUCGUUCUUAUUGCAUUACUUCAUUUUCUCAUGAACUUAAUACACUAGAUGCAUCCUGAUAGCGGUCGAUGUGUGGAGUAAUAGUAGUAGAUGCAGGCAUGAGUCGGUCUAUUAAUCUUGGACGUGAUGCCUAUAUAAUGAUCAUUGCCUGGAUAUCGUCAUGAUUAUUUGAAGUUCUAUCAAUUGCCCAACAGUAAUUGUUUUCCCACUGUUUCCUAUUUUUCUCGAGAGAAGCCACUAGUGAAACCUACGGCCCCCGGGUCUCUUUUCAUCAUAUUUGCCUUUGCGAUCUAUUUUCCCUUGCAUUUAUUUUCAGAUCUAUUAAACCAAAAAAUACAAAAAUACCUUGCUGCAAUUUAUUUGUUCCGCGAUCUAUUUAUCCUAUCUACCACUUUCACCUCAUGUUAUUUGCCUAUCUUGAGGCGCCGUACCCGGAAGGGAUUGACAACCCCUUCAACACGUCGGGUUGCGAGUAUUUGUUAUUUUUGUGCAGGUGAUGUUUACAUUGUGUGGGGAGGUUCUCCUACUGGUUCGAUAACCUUGGACUCAUCACUAAGGGAAAUACCUACCAUCGAUGUACUGCAUCAUCCCUUCCUAUUUGGGGAAAUACCGACGUAGUUCUAGCAGACAUCACUCUAGUGCAUCCGUUGCAUGGCAAUCCCUACUCACUCACAUUGACAUCCAUUGAUGGGCAUCUGUAGGACCUUGAAGUAUGUCUAGAGGGGGGGGGGUGAUUAGACUACUUGACCAAUUAAAAACUUAACCUUUUCCCAAUUUUAGAGUUUGGCAGACUUUAGCUAUCUUAGGACAAGUCAAGCAAUCAUCACACAGUUCAAGCAAGCAUGCAAAGAUUAUAUAGGCAGCGGGAAUUAAAGCAUGCAACUUGCAAGAAAGUAAAGGGAAGGGUUUGGAGGAUUCAAACGCAGUUGGAGACACGGAUGUUUUUGGUGUGGUCCGAUAGGUGGUGCUAUCGUACAUCCACGUUGAUGGAGACUUCAACCCACGAAGGGUAACUGUUGCGGGAGUCCACGGAGGGCUCUACCCAAGAAGGGUCCACGAAGAAGCAACCUUGUCUAUCGCACCAUGGCCGUCGCCCACGAAGGACUUGCCUCACUAGCGGUAUAUCUUCACGAAGUAGGCAAUCUCCUUGCCCUUACAAACUCCUUGGUUCAACUCCACAAUCUUGUCGGAGGCUCCCAAGUGACACCUAGCCAAUCUAGGAGACACCACUCUCCAAGAAGUAACAAAUGGUGCGUUGAUGAUGAAAUCCUCGCUCUUGUGCUUCAAAUGAUAGUCUCCCCAACACUCAACUCUCUCUCUCAUAGGAUUUGGAUCUGGUGGAAAGAAGAUUUGAGUGGAAAGCAACUUGGGGAAGGCUAGAGAUCAAGAUUCAUAUGGUAGGAAUGGAAUAUCUUGGCCUCACCACAUGAGUAGGUGGUUCUCUCUCAGAAAUGGUAAGUUGGAAGUGUAGGUUUAGUCUGAUGGCUCUCUUCACGAAUGAAGAGGAGGUGGAGGGGUAUAUAUAGCCUGCACACAAAAUCUAACCGUUACACACAAUUUACCAAACUUGGUGGGACCGAUUCAACAGACUCGGUCGGACCGAUUUAGUAAACCUAGUGACCGUUAGUGAUUUUCGGUGGGACUGACAUGAAACUCGGUAAGACUGAUUCGGUUAAGUUUAGGGCAUAACGUAAUCUCGGUAAGACCGAUUACACAAACUCGGGGAGACCGGUUUUGGUAAUAAGCUUUCCAGAGAGUUGGUCAGGUAAACUCGGUGGGACCGAUUUGCUCUUUUCAGUGAGACCGAAAUGUUACAAAAGGGAAACAGAGAGUUUACAUUGCAAUCUCGGUGGGACCGAUUGCUCACUUCGGUUUGACCAAAACGUUAUGAAGGGAAACCGAGAGAUUACAAUCCCAUCUCGGUGAGACCGAGAUCCCUAUCGGUAGAACCGAUUUUCCUAGGGUUUGUGGCAGUGGCUAUGACAUUUGAAAUCGGUGGUGCCGGAUAGGAAGAAUCAAUGUGACCAAUUUUCGCUUUGGGUUUAGGUCAUUUGUGGAUGUGAGAAAGUAGUUGAGGGUUUUGGAGCAUAUCACUAAGCACAUGAAGCAAGAGGCUCAUUAAGCAACACCUCAUCCCUCCUAGAUAGUAUUGGCUUUUCCUAUAGACUCAAUGUGAUCUUGGAUCACUAAAAUAUAAAAUGAAGAGUCUUGAGCUAUUGAGCUUGAGCCAAUCCUUUGUACUUAGUAUUUUGAGGGAUCCACUUUCAUCAUCCAUGCCAUGCCAUUCAUUGAGCUUUCCUGAAAUAAUAGUCUUGAAAUAGCAUUAGCUCAAUGAGCUAUAUGUUGUUAUGAAUUACCAAAACCACCUAGGGAUAGUUGCACUUUCAAUCUCCCCCUUUUUGGUAAUUGAUGACAACAUAUAGAUCAAAGCUUCGACAAAUGAUAAUAAGAUUGAAAAACAUCGUCGCUUUGAGAAGUAUGUGAUAAGCAAGAGCUCCCCCUAAUUUGUGCAUAGUUUAAGAUUUGCUUUGGACUGCAAAUGCACAAGGAAUUAGGCUCAUGGGUUACUCUUCCAUGUCACAUACAUCUUGGUGGAGCGCUCAAAAUGAUAAAGAUUGAAUACAUGCACUCAUCACCAAGCAAAGUGAAUGAUCAUAUAGGAUAGAUAAGAUAAUAUCAUCAAACAUGCAUAAGUGUAGCUUAAGAUCAAUCACAUGAUCAUCAAUAUGUCACAAGAAUAGCAUAGUAUCUCAAGCAAUCAAAAGCAAACAAGUUUAAAACCACUAAGGCAAGAGAGAACAAAAACAACACUCUCUCUCUCGAAGCCUAUGAUCUAUACAUUUUUCUCCCCCUUUGGCAACAAGUUACCAAAAAGUUCAUAGAAAAUGCAUAGUGCUAGAUCGACUCUCAGGCUUGAUCUUCAGUUGGUGGUGUAGAGAUGGCUCCUUGGACGAUGGCUUCAGUUGAUGUAGAGGGAGCUGGAGGAGUUGGUGCUGGAGCUGGUUGCACUAGAGCUGUAGGAGUUGUGGCUGGUGCAGAUGAUGUUGCUCUAGUGUCUGACACUGGCACUGCAGCUGACCUCUGAGCUCUAGGCACUCUGGGAAAUACAUUAGUGGUAGUCUUGCCCUUCCUCUCCUGCAUGUCAUCCUACAGCUGCUCCACAACUGACUGAAUCUCAGUUACCUUGACAUCAAGAUCAUAGAAUUUUUGUUCCAUGAUUCUUUCCAAGCUCUCCUGAUUCUGAGUUAAGGUGGCCAACCCCUUCUCAAUCCUUAGUGUUGAUGCUAUCAAGUAACCAAGCUACUCCUGCUUGUUCUUCAAGAAAUACUCAGAUGCCUCCUCUUGAGUUGGCAUCUUGACAGCCUUCUCCUUCCUUGCCUUCUCCUUCUUCUCUUAAGCUUGAACUGAUGAUGGAUCAUCCUCAUUCAUGACAACCUCAUUGUCCUCAAAGUCUGGAUAGAGAGGAAAAUGUUCCCUAUCCAAUAGAUAUUUGCCUGUGCCCAUCUUUGAGUUAAUCAACUCCUGAAUCUGCGGGGCAUAUCCACAACUCCUCUUAUGAUCUGCUGCAGUCCUCUUAAUGGUUUCUACUAUAAGACUCAUGACCUUGAAUUUCUGAGGCACAUCAAACAAAUGCAACAUGUUGAUUGCAUGCCCUCUGAUCAUGUUGUGGUCACCUGACUUAGGCAAUAGAGUGUGCCUUAGGAUCCAGUUGAUUGUAGGAAGCCCUGACAGAAGAAAGUGGACUGAUCCAAAAGAGAAAGUCUCUAGGGCUUUGUCUGGGAUCUCCUUGUACAUAUGUGCCAUGGUAUUAUGUCCCAUUUUCUUCUUGGCAUAUACAUCCAGAUCAUCAUCAUUUUCCUUUGGGGCAUUUAUCAGUUUUGCCCACUCCUCAAUAGUUAACUGGUACCUUGUACCUUCAGACAUCCAAACUAUCCUCCCAUCUGGAUAGAAGUGUGCUGUGGAGUAGAAUUGCAUGAUAAGUUCAUCAUUCCAGUUGGUGAGCUUCUGCCCAACAAAAUCUGCAACUCCACAAGCAACAAAACUGUCUUGUACUCCUGGAUAGUGUUCUUCAUUUUCCUUCAUGUAGGUCCAGUUGACCCACCUCAUAUCACACACAAUGGGCUUUUUGUCCAACAAGAUUGUCUCAUAGAAGUCCUGUUGUUCCUUUGUAUGGAACCUGUAAUCAANNNNNNNNNNNNNNNNNNNNNNNNNNNNNNNNNNNNNNNNNNNNNNNNNNNNNNNNNNNNNNNNNNNNNNNNNNNNNNNNNNNNNNNNNNNNNNNNNNNNUCCCUCCCCUUCCUCCGCGCCCUCCACCUCCCCUCCGCCCUCCUCCCCGCCAUCAGCCCCGCCCCCAAGUCUGAAGCUCCCCGCCUCCCCAUUGUCCUAGCACCCACGGCAACGACACGAGGCCUCGCGCCCCCGCACCACCGCAGCCCCGUCGUCUCUGCUCCGGCUUCAGGCCUCCUCCCCUCUCUAUCAUCGCUCUCCCCAAAGGACCACUUCGCGCCCCUAAGCAACUGUAUGUUCUGCGGGUGCAGCGUCACCCCCGCGGCACACCGUCUCAUGCCGGUUCUCAGCCCUUCCUCAGUUUCCCUCCAUGUCUCCAUUCACGGCUGCAUCCACUCAUUUCAACCAAGACUCUUCUCUCACACCAAUGUGUUUUCAUACUGAUAUGGCAGGUUAGCAGCUGACGAGAGGAGGCUGGGAGCAUCAGUACAGCAACCAAUUCGCGGCAGGUGAAAGGUGAAUUUUCUUAUGAUAUUUGUAACUGCACUAAAGUAGCCUAGGCAUUACCGCUAUGAAGUACGGAAUACGAUUUUUUCUUUAAUUGUCAUUACUAUUGGACUUUAUGUUAUAUAUAUAUAUAUAUAUAUAUAUAUAUAUAUAUAUAUAUAUAUAUAUAUAUAUAUAUAUAUAUANNNNNNNNNNAUCUUUUUUUUGUAACUCCGUGUACCCAAAUCAUAAAUUUGCCCCCGCCAAUAUGUUGUUUUGUAAUCUUCAAUGUAAGUGUGUUAAAUAGUUGGUGGGAAUUUUUGGAAUAAAUUUGGUCUGUAUAAGUUUGCGCUGGAGUACAUGCUGGACGUACUCCAUUUCGGGAUCUGCCACUGUUGGUGGAUGAAUGUAGAAAUUAUUAUACAUCUGGUAUAAUACCAUCAAAAAAUGUUGUGUUAGCGCUGAACUUCAAUUUUACAGUGUACACGGUGCUGAUGUAUGUAUCACAUUUAAGUAUGUUUGAAGUUCUUUAUAUAUAUCCCAUUUCGGAUGUUACUUCCUUGCAUGUACUGUGUUUGCUACGUAGUGAAGGUAGAAAUAAGUGAAAUUAUAGGUUGAUCUGAGUUUCAAAGUAAUUAUAACAUCGGUAGUAAGUAAUUAUAACAACAGCGGUUUGGUCUUCUUAGGUAUACCAUUGUUGAAUAGCAAAGUUGUAGUUUAGUGCAAUUGUACGUUGUGAGCCCUCCAAGUAUUCUGUUUUAUUUGCCAAAAAAAUAUGCUGCUUCUUUAGUCUGAAGAUUUACUAUGGGAUGUGUUGUUGGCCAAAAAGUUUUUAGCAUCAGGUCAAUCCAUUUGGUGGCUUCCCUAGCUAGAGAUGAUAGUAAUUCUUGACAGCACAGCCAAAAAAUUCAUGUAGUAUAAGUAUUGCCUCGUCAAAGUGGUAAGCAGAGAUGAUAGUAAUUCUUGUCGACGAGGAUUUCUAAAGGUCAAACAUAGUAAUCUUUGACCAAGUUUAUAGAGAAAAUCAUUUAUAUCUGCAUUAAGAAGCAUAUACAGUAUGAAAAUAUAUCUCAUGAUGUAUCUAUUGAUAUACACUUGGUAUUCUAAAAUUCUAAUGAGUCAAUCUCAAGGGCCACCACAGCAGAACACAAUUUAGUUGGAUUAUACCUAAUGCAGCAGGAGAGCAUCACUGACCUGUCUAGCUUGAACAUUGCAUUGAAGUGAUUUUUGGUGUCAAAUCACUCAAGCAGUAACUGAAUUUUCAAACUAAACUUGACACAAUACUAUUCAGUUAAUUUGCUUCGACAGUAGUGUGUAUGCUCAUCACUUUAUGUAUGGUGUUAUGCCCUGUUAUCUCUGUUUAGUUAUUUUCCUAUUUCUAACUCUGAAUCUGAUAUAAACCAUAUGGUUGGCAUAAGUGGUAUUUUGUAUAUGUGCUGAUGCUUUGUUAAUAUAAAGCUAUAGAUGAUGUUGUACUUGUGAUGAUGCUACUUGUGAUCUUCUGAAAUGACCCAUUGGCGACUUCAUUACACGGGGAUAAUGAUAUUGCAGGUACCCCGAGAGGCCCUUGAGUUUUCCGGAAUGUCGAUUAACUUUCAUUCCGGCAAACUCGGGUACUCCAUAUGUCCUAUUUUCAGCAAAGGUAAUGCUGAAAUUUUCCGUGAAUUUUAGCACGACUUUGCUAAAAAUAGGACAUAUGUGGUACUUGCGACUAAUGCCUGUUAUCAUGCAUGUUUUAUGAUCUGUUGUAAGGGUACUAAUUGGUCUCUUCUGCUGCUUAUCAGAGAUGGCGGGAAGUAGCCACCGCCGCUCUGCGACACCGCAGUAUGAGUUGGAUGCUUCCGAGUUCUUCACUAUCAUACUUGAGACUUCAAUAUCAUCCAUGAUGCAGGUAUAUAAAACGAGAGAUCUCCCCUUCACCCAUCUCAUUAUGAUAUCUGUUGUUUGCUACAUCACUCAUUGUCCCAAACUACAGAGGCUGCCUGACAGUUUUAUGAACAUGCUGGUGGGUGAAGAUCCGCCAAAUAAUGUGAAGCUGCGACGGGCCGGCAACGGGUUUUGCAGGCAGUGGGAUGUGGAGUUGGUGAUCAAGGAGGGCCACAUGUACCUGUCUCGUGGGUGGGAGAAGUUCUAUCGUGCCUACGACCUGCGCCUGGGGUACUUCCUUCUCUUCAGGUACGACGACGACGCCAUCAUGCUCAUCGUGAAGGUGUUCAACACGACUAUGUGUCGCAUGCGCUACGCUGACGAUGAUGAUGCCGGUACGUUCUGCCUCUUCUCAUUCCUCUACAUUUGGCUUUGUCUCACAACGAUUGUUAACAGUCAUUGUUGCAUUUUGGACAGGUAAUGGGAGCAGCACCAGCGACACUGGCUACAUCCAAAGCAGCAGCGACUAUGGCUGUAGCGAAAGCAGCAGCGAUUCUGGCUGUAGAGAAAGCAGCAGUGAUUCUGGCAGCAGCAUAGACAACAAGAAGGAUGAUCCGGACUGGAGUGCGGGAGAAGAGGAGUAGAGUGGGGAUGAGGAGCUGCAGGAUGACGAUGGGCAUCAGGCUGAGGAUGACCUAGCGCUGGUGGUGGCUGACCAAGGGCAAGAGAUGGUGGUGGCUGACCAUGGGCAAGAGAUGGAGGUGGCUGAGGAUGACCUAGCGAUGGUCGUGCCUGAAGGUGGCCUCGCAAUGGUGGUGGUGCCUGACAAUGACCACGCACCGGUGCUGGCGCCGGCGAUCGCACAGCUGGGCGACAUGACCACGCCAAUUGUGGUAGAAGACUACAUCCCAAUGCCUCCACCGCCUCCACCGCCUCGCCCCUCUUGGUGCAUUUGGCUGAGGAAGGAGAAGGAGAAGGAGAAGAACAAUGCAUGAGAACUGAACUUCGUCAGGUAUGUCAGAUCUCCUAUAGGUUAGUUAUCCAAAAUGAUAUAUAUAUACUUAGCUACCUAUGUUAUCUCUAAUAUGCUUAGUUUCCUAUAGGUUAGCUUCAUUUUUACCUAAGUUGGCUCUAAUAUGCUAACUUAGAGCUUAUAUGCUUAGUUUCCUAUAGGUUAGCUGCAAAAUAACUUAUGGUAGCACAAAAUGAUCAAGUUUACAUAAUAAGCUUAUAGUCUUUUUCUUAUUCUUCUUCUUUUCCAAAAUGACAUAGGUUAGCUUCAUUUUACCUAAGUUGGCUCUAAUAUACUAACUUAGAGCUUAUAUGCUUAGUUUCCUAUAGGUUAGCUCCAAAAUAACUUAUGUUAGCACAAAAUGAUCAAGUUUACGUAAUAAGCUUAUAGUCUUCUUCUUAUUCUUCUUCUUUUCCAAAAUUCUUCUUAUUCUUCUUCUAGUGUUCUUCUUCUUCUAGUAUUCUUCUAGUCUUCUUCUUUUUCUUCUUCUAACUUCUUGUUUAUCAUUUUGCAGAUUUGAUUUAAUUCACGGAAGCUUGCAUGGAUGUAGUGCUUAUUUUCCAAUUGUGUUUUUAUUUUGUACCAAUGUGAAACUUUUGUGAAUUGAUGGAUAACGGUGUUGGAUGAACAAUGUGAAACUUUUGUAAUAUGUAACGAUGGAACUAUGUGUUCGCUAUGUAUGUAUAUAUGAUGGAACUUGUGUGUUGCUAUGUAUGUAUAUAUGAUGGAACUUGUGUGUUGGCUAUGUAUGUAUAUAUGAUGGAACUUGUGUGUUGGCUAUGAUUGUUAUAUGGAUGCUUGUUGUAUAUAUAUGUGUUGGAUAUCUCAUAGGUGAAAUAGUGACCUGAGAUUAUGAAAAAAAAUAAAAAAAAUUGUUACUAAUAGCGCACUACCAUGUGGUGCGCCAUUAGUAUAGAAGACACUAGUGGCGCACUGUGGACAAAACUAAUGGCGCACUGCAUGGUGCGCCAUUAGUAUACCAGAUACUAAUGGCGCACCAGUGAUACUAAUGGCGCACCAGUGGUGCGCCAUUAGUAAAAAAUACUAGUGGCGUGAUACUAAUGGCGCACCGGUAGUGCGUCAUUAGUAGGAAAAACCGGUGCGCCAUUAGUAGGCCUUUUCCUAGUAGUGUACCACGCUUUGUUAGGGCGAGAAGCAUUCACAAUUUUUCAAGCUAUACCCCAUUACGGGUACAUGAUGCUCAAAAUGCCCGGAACCAACGGAAUUAUCACUCUUGCUAGUGACCCGGACACAGCGCUCCGUGGAACUAACUAUGUUGCGCUCCACGGUGGACAGGGACGACGUGAUACUCGACAAAAGAUCCAAGUCCACCUCCUUCAAGCCGGCAGACGAAAUAGUCAAGUUCCAAGUCCAUCCAACGGACACCACAAAAAGCGGCCUCCAUCGGGGCACAACUAAAACCUCAUGUAGACGCCGCACUCAGAGAAUUCCUAUGAGAAAGUUGGGACAUUUUCGCCUGGCACCCUUCAGACAUGCCAAGAAUCCCACGCAGGCUGGCCGAGCACAGCCUGAACAUCCUAAAAGGGUUCAAGCCCGUUAAGCAGACUCUUCGGUGUUUCUCCGAACCCAAGAGACAAGCCAUGGGAGAGUAGCUAGCAAAACUACUGGAAGCCGGAUUCAUCAGAGAUAUAAAACAUCCGGACUGGCUAGCAAACCAGGUGAUGGUACCAAAGAAGGACAAAUCCUGGUGCCUAUGCGUCAAUUUCAAAGAUCUAAAUAAGGCCUACCCAAAGGAUCGCUUCCUCCUCCCCUGAAUUGAUCAAAUCAUCGACGCCACUGCAGGACACGAUUCAUUGUGUUUCCUCGAUGCAUACUCUGGCUACCACCAAAUCAAGAUGGCAGAGUCAGACCAAGCCGCAACGGCAUUCAUCACCCCAUACGGCCCAUUCUGCUUCAACAUGAUGCCCUUCGGGCUCAAAAACACCAGCGCGACAUGUCUGGCCAACCAGAUCAGCAAAACAGUUGAAGCGUACGUAGAUGACGUGGUGAUCAAAUCCAAGCAUGUCGAAACUCUAGUAGACGACUUGAGUCUCACGUUCGACAAUCUCCGAGCAUAUGACAUUAAGCUCAACACAGAAAAAUGCGUUUUCGGCAUACCAGCCGGAAAGCUCUUGGGCUUCAUCGUAUCCGGUAGAGGAAUUGAGGCAAACCCAGCCAAGAUCCGAGCUCUAUCACAAUUGGAUAUCCCAAAAGACCUCAAGCAAAUACAAAAAUUAACUGGAUGCGUGGCGGCUCUAAGCCGCUUUAUCUCCCGCUUAGGGGAAAGGCAUUACCCCUUUAUCGCCACCUGUGGCGAACCGAACACUUCGAGUGGAUGGAUGCCGCCACGGCUGGACUCGAAGAAAUCAAAGCCAUACUGGCAACAAAUCCGGUCCUGUUCGUGCCCAACACGGGCGAACCAAUGCUAUUAUACAUCACGGCAACCCAUCAAGUUGUAAGCGCGGUGCUCGUUGUCGAACGAGAAACAGACAGACACAAGUUCCCUCUGCAAAAACCAGUUUACUACGUGUCCACUGUCCUAACUCCAUGCAAGUCACGGUACCCACAUUAUGAACACAUAGCAUAUGCGUUGUUCAUGGCAUCCCAGAAGCUGCGACACUUUUUCCAAGAGUGUUCGACACCAGUGGCAUCUGAAGUACCCCUUGAUGACAUUAUAAACAACCGCGACGCAACGGGCCGGAUUGCCAAAUGGGCCAUUGAGAUCCUCCCGUUUGAUAUAACCUACAAGCCACGGCGAGCUAUCAAAUCACAGGUUUUGGCUAACUUCAUCGCCGAAUGGACCGAAGCCGAGCUCCCUAAAGAGUAUGGCGCAUAUUCCAACUGGAUCAUGCACUUCGAUGGCUCCGAAAUGUUGGCCGGCCUGGGGGCUGGCAUCGUUCUGACGUCCCCAACAGGAGAUACAGUCCAAUACGUACUUCAGAUAAUUUACACGGACUCCAACAACUCAGCCGAAUACGAGGCCCUUCUACAUGGUCUCCGGAUGGCAGUUUCCAUGGGCAUUCAGCGCCUAGAGGUCCGCGGGGAUUUAAACCUCGUGGUAUCCCAAAUAAAUGGAGACUUUGAUGCCAAGGAUCCGAAAAUGGCAUCUUAUCGCAACGCCGUCUUAAAGAUGUCAGCUCGGUUUCAGGGGCUCGAAUUUCACCAUAUAGCCCGGGAGAACAACCAGGCAGCAGACGUGUUGGCACGCAUCGGCGCAAAACGCGAGGCUGUCCCUCCCAACAUCUUCCUAGAGAGGCUUUUCAAGCCAUCCGUAUCCUAGGAAGGAGAGUCUGGAAACAACAGCCCGGACACAACCACACUACCCCUCACUGAACAUUCUGACACAGUUGGUGGCUCCGCCAACGAAACAACGCCGUCAGCCCACACAAUAAUGGCAGUCAUUGCCCCGUGGAUGGAACCAUUCCUAGCCUACCUAACUAGGCAGGAACUUCCCGAGGACCAAAACGAGGCCCGCUGCAUAGUGCGGCGAUCUAAAGCCUAUAAAGUCCACGAGGGAGAGCUUUAUAAGAAAAGCACAACCGGAGUCCUUCAGAGGUGUAUCUCCGAAGAAGAAGGGAAAAAUCUUCUGGCUGAAAUUCACGCCGGACUCGGCGGGCACCACGCAGUAGCUCGGGCCCUCGUAAGCAAGGCCUUCCGUACCGAAUUUUACUGGCCGACGGCUCGGGAAGACGCUCAAGACUUAGUGCAGCGAUGUGUCGGUUGCCAAUUAUUCGCUAAUCAAAACCACAUGUCGCCUACCGCCCUUCAAACUAUACCCAUUACCUGGCCUUUUGCGGUCUGGGGGCUUGACAUGGUUGGACCCCUUAAAGGAGGAACCCACAAGAAAAAAUAUCUACUGGUCAUGGUGGACAAAUUCACCAAAUGGAUAGAGGCCAAGCCUGUAAAGACGGACGAAUCCGGACCGGUGAUAGAGUUCAUAUCCGGGAUUGUACACCGUUACAGCGUCCCCCACAGCAUCAUCACUGACAACGACACAAACUUUACGACCCGAUGAAGUUAAACUCUGGUAGAAAAACAUGGGCAUCAAGAUCGACUACGCUUCAGUCUAUCACCCACAAACUAACGGUCAAGUCGAACGAGCGAACGGUCUCAUCAUGAGUGGCGUCAAACCCAGACUAGUGCGAUCCCUCAAGGAAUCUAACACGCACUGGGUAGAGGAGCUUGACUCCGUACUCUGGUGGCUACGGACCACGCCGAAUCGCACUACCGGAUUCACACCAUUUUUAUGGUAUACGGCGCAGAGGCAGUCCUGCCCUGCGACAUAAUUCAUGACUCACCUCGCGUGCGCAUGUACGAAGAAAGAGAAGCCGAGCUCGAUCGGCAGGACAGCUUGGACGCAUUGGAGGAGGAGCGUGACGUGGCAAAAGCUCGUUCCGCAUUUUAUCAACAGCAGGCUCGAAGAUAUCAAAGCAGAGAAGUACGGGCCAGAACUUAUAACGUUGGCGAACUAGUUCUACGCCUGCCGGACAAGAAAAAGGACAAACUAAAGCCCAAAUGGGAGGGUCCCUUCAUAAUCGACCAAGUACUGACUGGUGGAGCAUACCGCCUGCGAAACGCAUCGGACAACCGACUCGAGUCGAACCCAUGGAACACAGCACGCCUACGAAGAUUCUACGCCUAGCACCGGACUACGUGUUCGUCUCCUCCCUCUGUCCCUUUUUUAUUUUUCCUAUUUUUAUUAGCUGCCUGGCAUUUCUCUCCUUCUCCCUACCUUUUUUCUCCCAAGCUCUUAGGGGCUUGCCUGCGCAUUGUUCGCACAUACUUGACGUGCUACCCGCGCUCAUUAUACCCGGGGGCUUCUUUAUCAGAAGAUUAUAAAAACGGGCCUCAUGCCCAAAACAUGCGUGACACUUCUGCAUGCACCUUUUAUACACCAUUAUAUGCAUCGAUAUGACUUAAGUUUUGGCCAAGCUGGGUUGCCUGGCUCCUGUGCUUACCGCUACGUUCCCGUUUGUUCGGCUAGGUGGUAAAGGGAGCACCUCUGCGAUUGUUACCACCGGGUCAGCCGGAUGUGUACCUCAGACUGGGUGAAGCCGAAAGCUAGCGUUCUUAAGGGAAUAUUCGGUCGGUGAACUAAAAGAUGAUUUUUUCUUGUUUAUUAUUUAUCUGCCCCCAGAUGCUUUUUCUGCCUUUUCUCGCAGUUCGGACAUGCACUUUAGGGCAUGCCUCAUGGAAAGGAACCCCUAACGGAACUAUUCUCCCUGGAAGAUGUUUCUUACUAACCAUGUAAUAUAACAUAACUAGUUGGGCACUUGUUUGCUAAAGCAAUUAUGACCCCUACGCCUUGUCUCCAUGCAUGCCCUCGUUCUUACAUAAUCGAGAGGGUAUUCGGACACACUCCGGACUAUAGGGUCCAGAGCUCGAAGUUAAAAGGUCCGCAAUGACAAACGAUCUACAAUCCGGCUAGAAGGCAUUUUAUAUGUCAUUUUAAAUUACAGAGUCAAUUCGACUCGGCAUAUUCUUCUUCAAUACCAUCCAACAGGCGGUCUAAGUUAUAGUCCUGUUGAGAAUACUUGGCAACUAACUCUACCUGGCCAUAUACUAAACUGACAGGGAUCUCCUUUCCGUCAGGCCCCAUAGGGCCGACCUCGGCCAUGUGGUUCAGGUCAGCCUUCGUGUACCGAGUCUUCACCAUGGCCCAGGCCUCCCUGGCACCUUGACGGCAGGCCGAUAUCUCCCACAACCGGAAGCGCUGCCACACUCCCUCCAGCUUCUUUGCAAGCUCCCCAAGGCCUUCCACUACAAGAAAUAUGUCAACUAGUGACCUUCUAUCAGUGACCCUGGAAGAAUUGGUCAUAGAUCUAUGACCAUUUUAGACCAAUUGGUCAAAAGCUGUUCGAGGGGCUCCAAACCCUAAACCAUUGCGACCAUUUUGGUCAGAAAGGUCGUAAUUUCCUUACACGAAAAGGUCAUAAAGCAAACAGCGCUAGUCCGCUGCCUUAUUUCUAGUUGUUAACGACCAAUAUAGAUGGUCAUAGCCUUGUAAAUUGUGGUGGGUUGCUAUGACUAGGCGCCACCUCAUCAGUUUUGCCUAUGUGUCAUGUCCAUGUGGCAGUUUUUGCCCUAGGUUGUGAAGCAACCUAUAUUUCUGUCAUUCCCAAAAUUCCCAAAAAAAAUCUCAUAAAUUCUUUGGGUCAUAUCUUCGUCAAAUAUGUAAAAACAUUCCUUGCCUAGUUCAAAAAUAAUUCGAAAAUAUUCAUUUUCCUAUUCUGUUCAGAGCAGCACUUUGUGAAGGAAGUACCACUUUGGCAUGUCCAAAUGGUAUCCAUUUUUUACAGUGCUUUCCUAUGCCAAAUAACCAUCCUCCACCAAAUGCCAGCUCAAUCCAUUCAUUAUUUUGAGCCCAGCUUCAACAUUCGUAUUUAUGUCCAGUGUGGUAGUUUGUAAAGCAAGUACCACCUAGGCUCCUCCUUUUGAGGUGAAAAUUUGUGAAGACGGUCUUCUUAGUAACUAAUCAUCAUCAGCCAAAAUUCACGCCCAUUAGCCAUGUGCAUUUCCCGUACCGCAAAUCAAACACUUGGCUGCUUAUUCAUGUUUAAGCAUCGAUCGGUCUCCUCGUGAGAAUCUUAUGUUGUGAUUUUCUUCCUAGCACCUACCUGGGGAGUCCCCAACCCACUAGACAUGUCUAGGCCGCCCAGAACACAAGGCAACGCCACGGUCACGUGGUGACCACGCGGCGGGCAUGCGAGCUUACGCGCCCUAGAGUUGGGUCCCUCGGCCACCGUCCAAACCUCGAUGUCUCACCAUCAAACCAUGUAUUUCUGAUUAAAUAGAUACUUAUUUACCUAGAAAUUAUUUUUGGAAAAAAUAAAGAGCAAACUAUGAGGCAGGUGCAGUUCAAAUUUGACCCGCUUCCAGCUGAAUCGGCGGAAUUUGUCUUUUCACCAGAGGUGGAUCAAAAAUUUUGACACCCAACCAUUUUGUCAAUUGUGCAUUAUAUAUGGCCUAGUAUUUUAUAAAAUUGAUUAGGUCCAAUUUUGCAACAAUUAUUUGGUAGUUCCUUCACAAAAAACCCUCCUUUUGGGCACUCGGAAAAUGAAAAAUGAAUUUUCCGUGAAAGGAAAAUGAAAACUUCCUUAGGCAACAUUGUUUGGAAUUCCAAGAUGCACCCUCGUGCACAAUAUGAGAUCAUUUGAACAAACUAUGCCAUGAAUGUGGCCAUAAGAUUGAUCGUUUGGCUUGAAAGCCAUGAAUCUUCACGCAUGAUAGCUCAUUUCUGGAACACUUUUUUAAAAUAAUUACCGUAUUACAAGUUUAUUAUUUUUCCUGGAAACUUGGUCACAUAUUAUGACACAAUGCGAAUGUUUUCCAAUUUUUUGAAUUUUUUAUGCCUGUUUCAAAAUGCGGUCAAAACGGCGGGCUUGACCGUUCCUAGCUAGUGGUUGAAUCUUGGAAUUUUUUUUGGUGUUUCUAUGAUUAAAUAGAUACUUAUGUACCUAGAAAUGAUUUUUGGAAAAAAAUAAAGAGCAAACUAUGAGGCAGCUACAGUUCAAAUUUGACCCGUUUUCAACUGAAUUGACGGAUAUUUGUCUUUUUCACCAGAGGUGGAUCAAAAGUUUGACACCCAACCAUUUUGUCAAUUGUGCAUUAAAUAUGGCCAAGUAUUUUAUAAAAUUGAUUAGGUCCAAUUUUGCAACAAUUAUUUGGUAGUUCCUUCACAAAAAACCCUCCUUUUGGGCAAUCGGAAAAUGAAAAAUGAAUUUUCCGUGCAAAGAAAAUGAAAACUUCAUUAGGCAACAUUGUUUGGAAUUCCAAGAUGCCCCCUCAUGCACAAUAUGAGAUCAUUUGAACAAACUAUGCCAUGAAUGUGGCCAUAAGAUUGUUCAUUUGGCUUGAAAGCCAUGAAUCUUCCCGCAUGAUAGCUCAUUUCUGAGAACACCUUUUUAAAAUAAUUACCGUAUUACAAUUUAUUAUUUUUCCUGGAAACUUGGUCACAUAUAAUGACACAAUGCGAAUGUUUUCCAAUUUUUUGAUUUCUUUUUUGAAUUUUUUAUGCCUAUUUCAAAAUGCGGUCAAAACGGCGGGCUUGACCGUUCCUAGCUAGUGGUUGAAUCUUGGAAUUUUUUUUGGUGUUUCUAUGAUUAAAUAGAUACUUAUGUACCUAGAAAUGAUUUUUUGAAAAAAUAAAGAGCAAACUAUGAGGCAGCUGCAGUUCAAAUUUGACCUGUUUCCAACUGAAUCACCAUGAAUUUGUCUUUUUCACCAGAGGUGGAUCAAAACUUUUUACACCAAAACAUUUGGUCAAUUGUGCAUUAAAUAUGGCCUAGUAUUUUAUAAAAUUGAUCAGGUCCAAUUUUGCAACAAUUAUUUGGUAGUUCCUUCACAAAAAACCCUCCUUUUGGGCACUCGGUAAAUGAAAAAUGAAUUUUCCGUACAAAGAAAAUGAAAACUUCCUUAGGCAACAUUGUUUGGAAUUCCAAGAUGCACCCUCAUGCACAAUAUGAGAUCAUUUGAACAAACUAUGCCAUGAAUGUGGCCAUAAGAUUGAUCAUUUGGCUUGAAAGCCAUGAAUCUUCACGCAUGAUAGCUCAUUUCUGAGAACACUUUUUUAAAAUAAUUACCAUAUUACAAGUUUAUUAUUUUUCCUGGAAACUUGGUUACAUAUAAUGACACAAUGCAAAGGUUUUCCAAUUUUUUGAUUUUUUUGAAUUUUUUAUGCCCGUUUCAAAAUGCGGUCAAAACGGCGGGCUUGACCGUUCCUAGCUAGUGGUUGAAUCUUGGAAUUUUUUUGGUGUUUCUAUGAUUAAAUCGAUACUUAUGUACCUAGAAAUGUUUUUCGGAAAAAAUAAAGAGCAAACUAUGAGGCACCUACAGUUCAAAUUUGACCCGUUUCCAACUGAAUCGACAGGAAUUUGUCUUUUUCACCAGAGGUGGAUCAAAAUGUUUUACACCAAACCAUUUGGUCAAUUGUUCAUUAAAUAUGGCCUAGUAUUUUAUAAAAUUGAUUAGGUCAAAUUUUGCAACAAUUAUUUGGUAGUUCCUUCAGAAAAAACCCUCCUUUUGGGCACUCGGAAAAUGAAAAAUGAAUUUUCCGUGCAAAGAAAAUGAAAACUUCCUUAGGAAACAUUGUUUGGAAUUCCAAGAUGCACCCUCGUGCACAAUAUGAGAUCAUUUGAACAAACUAUGCCAUGAAUGUAGCCAUAAGAUUGAUCAUUUGGCUUGAAAGCCAUGAAUCUUCACGCAUGAUAGCUCAUUUCUGAGAACACUUCGUUAAAAUAAUUACCGUAUUACAAGUUUAUUAUUUUUCCUGGAAACUUGGUCACAUAUAAUGACACAAUGCGAAGGUUAUCCAAUUUUUUGACUUUUUUGAAUUUUUUAUGCCCGUUUCAAAAUGCGGUCAAAACGGCGGGCUUGACCGUUCCUAGCUAGUGGUUGAAUCUUGGAAUUUUUUUGGUAUUUCUAUGAUUAAAUAGAUACUUAUGUACCUAGAAAUGAUUUUCGGAAAAAAAUAAGGAGCAAACUAUGAGGCAGCUAUAGUUCAAAUUUAACCCGUUUCCAGCUGAAUCGACGACAAUUUGUCUUUUUCACCAAAGGUGGAUCAAAACUUUUUACACCCAACCAUUUGGUCAAUUGUGCAUUAAAUAUGGACUAGUAUUUUAUAAAAAUGAUUUGGCCCAAUUUUGCAACAAUUAUUUGGGAGGUCCUUCACAAAAAAACCUCCUUUCGGGCACUCGAAAAAUGGAAAAAUGAUUUAAGAGAACUCAUUUCUCAUAACUCUUUAAAAAAAUAUUUGUCUUAUUUCAAUUUGUGAUUAUUCCUGAAAACUGUAGUCAAAUUUGCUAACAUAAUGAGAAGUUUUUCUUCUUCAUACUUUCAGGUCAUAAGAAAAUAGCUAACAUGAUUUAGCACAUUACUUUUAGUCAAUUACGACCAAUUAAAAUGGUCAAAAUAUUAUUACAUCUAUACUGCGUUCUGAUUGGUCCAAGGGCCUCUCACGCGGAUCAUGGAUAAAUCACCGUCGGAUCCUCCUGGAUCCAACGGCCCUCACCUCACCCUCUCACGGUCUCACCCACCCACCGCGAGCUACCCCUAAAAAAAACCCACCGCACACCACUCCACUCUCUCCCCGAGCAGCGAACCCUAGCACUCUCUCCCUCUCUCUGGAUCCACCGCCGCCGCACUCCUCCUUCUGGAUCUCGACGCGCCGCUGCCCCCACCCCACUCCCACCCUCCCUCCCUCCCUCUGGAUCUUGAUGCGCCGCCGCCCCCACCCCACUCACGAUCACCGCUCGGCCCUCCCAACUCUUAGAUCCAACUGGCCCGUGACGGAGGCCGUCGUGGACAUGGCCGCCACCACCGACCGUGAGUGGUGGUCUUGGUCAUCGCACUGGAGGCGCUUCUCCUGGCACUCUCCUCGCGUUCAAGUGAAGAUCACGCCAAGGAGGUCGUUCGAGCGCCUAUCGCUCGUCGUCACCGGCGGCGGCCCCCUCCUCCCCUCGCGCCGCACCUACCACGCCCAAUCCUGGCGAGGACAUAGCAGCCGACGCCCUCGCGUGCGACAGCGGCAGCGAGGUCGGCGCCCUCGUGGAGCGGCACGCGGCGCUGGCGGCGGGGUCUGGCCAGCGAUUCCGAGAUCUGCUGCGGUGCGACGCCGAUGCGGUCCGCCACGACCGCCUGCAGCUUCCGCACGCCCAGCAACGGCUACACGGUCACCGUGCCCAGGUCUACUCUUUGCUCCCGAUCCCAGCCCCCCUCCCCUCCCCUCCGCCGGAUCAUCGCUCCCGUGAGCCUAACGCCAGUCGUCUUCCCCGUAGGUCGGAGGUACAUCGGGACGGGUGGUGCAGCGCCGCACCGACUGCAAAGACUCGUGGCCCGGCCAGUGGGACAUCUCUAGCGCCGGCCACAUCCCCGUCAUGGACUCCUCCCUCUCCUUCCUUACGGUGAGUGAGCUCGCUGGCCUCGCACUCCUGUUGCUUGCUGUAGCAAACUCAGAUGACUGCUGCACGGGGAAUCUUAUUCCUAUCACAAAUAGUCAACUUAUGGGAUGUGUGAUCGCGCAUGCGUUCUGCUACUCCUAUGACAAGUUGAUUAGCUCUUGAUUAGCUCUUGAUUAUGGGGGGUGUGGUCGCUCAUUCUUCUUCUCUCAAAAUGUGACAUCCACGCAUCACCGUAGCUCCUCACUUUUUUGCACACUUAGCCUCCGGCCCCUUCAAAUUUUACGACUGAUCUACAUAUUUUAACCUCUGUUACCAUAUUAGUAAUAUCAUAGGCUUACCCAGAAGAAAUUCAGACAGGGGCCAUAAUGCUUCAGCGACGACACUUCCAAUAAUAUGCAUUCCUACAUAAGCUCAACUCCAGCUUCAACCACAUUUUAUUUUAUACUACUCCCUCCGUAAAGAAAUAUAAGAGCAUUUAGAAUACUAAUUUAGUGAUCUAAACGCUCUUAUAUUUCUUUACAGAGGGAGUACCUUUUAAGUUCAGUAACUACUCCUUCUCUGUUCUCAUUCCUCUAUUGAGAUGAGAGGCAACAAAGCUCUUAAUUCUUGAACUUGUUUGGCUUGUUUGUCUGAACAGAUUCGUUUACUGCACAUGCAGCCGCUUGAUGAGAAGGAUUUGGAAAGGAAGCUGAAAAAAGAGCAGAAGGUGCUUGUUCUAAUCUGGUUCUAAUCGGCAUAUUUGACUAAAGCUUCCAUCAGCGUUCCAAUAUCGGUGUAGUCACGCUUUAGGCGUCCCAAUUUCUGCCUCAGUGGCUCAAAGUUGCAAUUUUUCUCCAACAUGAGGACUACAGAGCCGGCAUCCAUCUUAUCAGAUGAAUGAAUUAUCUCCUUGACCCGGCGUACCCAAUGGGUGGUGGACUCACCCUCCCCCUGCUUACAACUUGUCAAGUCCACGAUUGACAUGGACUGCUUACAGGUGUCUUUGAAGUUCUGGAUGAACCGGGCCUUUAAUUCCUCCCACGAACCGGGUCGGGCCGUUCCAUCUAACAUCAUGGUGAAGUAUUUAGCCAUUGUCGCGUCGCUAACCUCCAACAGCUCCAUGGCCAUCUCAUAGCUCUCAAUCCACGCUCCGGGCUGUAAGUCGGCCGUGUAAUUCGGCACCUUCCGAGGUCCUUUGAAGUCUUUAGGCAGGCGCACGUUGCGUAAAGCCGGUAUCAAACAAGGAACUCCACCGGUUCUGGUGGCUACUCCCAACUCAAUAGAAGUCGUUGGGUACUCCGGGAUGUCCUGAUGAGCCUUCAGCUGAGCCGCCCGCUCGUUCUCUUGACGUAUUCGGUCUUGCACCGGGUUAUAGCCCCCAUGUUGGUUACGGCGUUGGGCGUUGCUUGAUAAAGAUUCAGACUCCAUGUGCCUGCUGUAACUCGGGCUCCGGUUAUGACGAGGCGACGCUAACCAAGGCGGAGGGGUUGAAUGAAUCCUAUCCUGGCUAUAAGAAUAGGUCUCCUGCUGAGCCAGGGCCGUCUGAACAAGUUCCCUGAUCCUCCAGGUUUCCACUGCUGUUGGAUCAUCACCGUCCACCGGAAGAGCUGCUAAACGCGGUGAUGCUGCGAUUAAAUUCUCCAUGGGGUUGGAAAAGUGACCCUACGGUAUUGGUACAUAACGCGGCGGUGCCAUGCUCAUCUGAGGAGGUGGCAUCUCCUGACGCUGAGUCGGUCCUCCCGCUCCGGGUGUCAUAAACUGACUGGCAUUGGGCGGGUUACUUGGGCCGGCCCCUAGCGUGGGAAAAAGAACCCCAGGAUCGUAAUUCGGAGGCAAUCGGGAUUGGGCCUUCUGGUGCCUCCUCCUCAUUACUUCAUUGGACGCGUUUGAACUCAUUGUGAGCUGAUAAGCCUCUGACUGCAACCGCUGCGCCCAGGCGUUGAGAGCCGCCCGCUGCGUAGCUAGCUUAGUAUCCUCAGCUGCUAAGGCCUCCUUGGCUUGAGCUAUCUCCUCACGUACCUGUGCUACCUCCGCUCAUGCUCAUCUUUGUUUGCAGGAAUAACCGUGGCGGUUAACAAGGUCGUAAGCUUGUCCAUGAGGUCUAUUAGCACUUGAGCCGGCGGACGCACAGGGCCUCCUGCCCCGGCUGAUCCUAACCCGGAAGUAAUUGCGGCCGCGGCUAUAGAGUUUUGUCCGGGUUGAGUCCCAGCCAUGAAGACUCCUGCCCAAUUUGGCGGCUCACAGAGGCCCGGAAUACUAAGGCCAUCGGAACAGCCCCCGAGCGCACCAUCUUGAACUUGAUACAAAGAAUCUAUUGAACUGGUGGACGAAUCACCGUCAGAGGGGACGGCCGUCUCACCACCAUCUUUAGGCCCUUCAGAAAGCUCUUCUCCGUGGAUGCAGCCCACAAAGACACGCUUCAUGCCGGGUUGAACUCGGGCGGGUUUCGCACGAUGAGCCGUCUCGACAAGAUCGGUGCAGUUGUCCGGCUCAGGCCCCGGCUCACCGAUCCGGCCGAUGAAGACGUGGAUCCCUCCGAAAGGGGACCCGGUACCCGUACUCAAUUGAGCCGGCGUCGGGGCCCUAGCCUUCGUCGUCGAUGUAGAUCUUGCCACGACGACUCUUGGUCAUCCGGCCCACUACGUAUCCCUUGAGCCCUUCGAAGUUGCCCUUCAAGAACUCAAAUCCACCGUGCGCUGGCCCCACGGUGGGCGCCAACUGUCGUGGAAUGGUCAGAUCAGAUGUCCUCGUGAAAGGACUUAGUUGUGGAGCCAUUGCAACUAGGAAGCUUGAAGGGGUUAAACGGGACAAAGGACACGAGGGGGUUUAUACUAGUUUGGCCCAUUACGGUGAAGGUAAGGCCUACGUCUAGUUGGGUUGGUAUUGAUGUUUCGAUGACCAGGGAGCGAGAUACGCUAUGCCUGGCUCUCGAUUAGUUGUUUCUUACCCUAAGCCGCCAGCGGGUCGUCCCCUUAUAUACAUGGGUCGACGCCCUGCGGCUUACAGAGUCCCGGCCGGCUCAUAAACAAUGUACGGCUCGGUGACUAGUUAAGUCUACCUUAUGAUACAAGCAAUAUUAUUACAGUGGGUUACUACAACGGGCCUUAAGUCGCCUGCAGGCCUUAAGCUCUCUAUGAACCGCCAUCUUCAUACUUUGGCUUGGGCUUCUCUCUGGUGAGUCCUAUUUGCGUAACCUGGCCCCUCCUAGGCGGCUUACACAAAUAGUUAUAUCCCCAACAGUCUCGGUUACCUUUGAGGCUGGAAGUAGUCCGGGAUAGUCGGCCUUAAUGGCCACUAAGGUGUUGUCCCUACUCAAUUGAUGAAACGCCCCAUCAAUUAACUCCACGCAUAUGUCUGGGUCCUCUUGGGAAUCCGGAUCGAGGGACCGUUCUGGGUCCUCGGGCUGCGGAGGAGGGCUGUUGAUCUCCUUCACAGUCUGGUGUAGCUCCUGCGUUAACAUCGCCAGACUAAGUACUCAAUUAUGGGAAUUUCGAAAGCGGGUAGAUAAGUAAAAGUGUUCGCUUACCCAGCUUGGAGGGCUAUACAUAGAGAAUCCGCCCCGUGGGUUAACACGGAUGAAUUCCUCUUCUUCUCUCUUGUACAAAGUGGAUAAGAACUUCGUGAGAGUGGCAGCCGAAUCUGGUCCCUUGCGACCGCACCGGGUGGCGUUGUCCUCCCCGUUGAAAUCCCACAUGGGGUGGCCUCUGUAUUGAAGCAGCUGCACCCCCCGCGUAAUGCAUGUGGCCAUGACCUCGAUCAUGGUCAAUCCGGAAUGAGCCAACAAUCUUAUCCGUCUCAUCAGGUAAAGGACGUCCCUGUCAGUUUCCCUUUGAGGAUUCCGUGGUUGCUAGCUUAGGCGUUUGUUUAACGGAGCGUUGUUAAACUCAGGGAGGUCGAUCCGUACAGGGUCCGGCAGGGGGGUGUCAUCCAUAUAAAACCAUUCCGAAGGCCGGUCCUCAGACGCCUUCUUAGGGGUACCGGGUAGGUAUCCGGUCCCGGCGAUGCGCCAUAGCUCGGCUCCGCCCACUUGAUAAAUUGACCCCUCCUGAGAGCGGGGUACAAGGCCGAACAACCUCUUCCAUAGUGCGAAAUGGGCCUUGAUGCCCAAGAAUAACUCGCAGAGGGCCACGAAGCCCGCAACAUGCAGUAUGGAGGCAGGCGUGAGGUUGUGUAGCUGGAGGCCGUAGAACUCUAGUAGACCUCGGAGAAAUGGAUGAAUUGGAAAUCUGAGUCCUCUUAUUAAAUAAGGAACUAGGCACACCCGCUUUCCUUGAGAGGGAUUGGGGACGCUCUCCGCCUGCCCUAAGCCGCUAUAGGUGGCAAUCCUGGAUCGAACUGGGACCAUAUAUGCUGGGGGGAGUAGCCCCUUGGAUUGAAGCACUACUAGCUUGCUAUGCGGGAUGGAGCAUCUCUCCCAAUCCCCAGGCUUGGGGCUGGGAGCGCGAGAGGAGGAGCCGCGUUGGUUAUCCAUGAUGGAAUGGAUUUUUUGUCAGAGGCGCUCCUGUGAAAGCUUGCGAAGGGGAGAUGGUGUGGCUCGGAUCUAGAUCCUCGUCUCUUUAUAUAUAGGCAGCUUAUUUGAGCAGCUAGGGGGGGGGGGGAUGUAAAAAUAGCCUGGCUUUUUGCAUUCGUUCGACACGUGGAAGAGGGCCUUUACUGGACGUCGAAGCCAAGGAGCGCAACAUUUAUCAGAAGCCGGACAUUAUUCUACAAGUAAAUGGAGUUUGGAGAAGAACCCGCCUUGCAAUGCCGAAGACAAUUUGGGCGCCGGACUUGUCAUCAUUGAAGCCUGGUUCGGGGGCUACCGAGGGAGUCCUGGAUUAGGGGGUGUCCGGAUGGCCGGACUAUGACCUUUGGCCGGACACCCAGACUAUGAAGAUACAAGAUUGAAGACUUCGUCCCAUGUUCGGAUUGGACUUUCCUUGGCGUGGAAGGCAAGCUUGGCGAUACGAUAUGAAGAUCUCCUCCCAUUGUAACUGACUCUGUGUAACCCUAGCCCUCUCCGGUGUCUAUAUAAACCGGAGAGUUUUAGUCCGUAGGACGAACAACAAUCAUACCAUAGGCUAGAUUCUAGGGUCUAGCCUCUCUGAUCUCGUGGUAGAUUAACUCUUGUACUACCCAUACCAUCAAUAUUAAUCAAGAAGGAGUAGGGUUUUACCUCCACCGAGAGGGCCCGAACCUGGGUAAAAACAUCGUGUCCCUUGUCUCCUGUUACCAUCCGCCUAGACGCACAAUUUUGGACCCCCUACCCGAGAUCCGCCGGUUUUGACACUGACAGCAGGCACCUCCGGAGGCACAGUGCCAGGAUUCGCGCCCGUCAAAGGGGCGCCUCUCUCCAUCGCAUAGGAAGGCGCGCCCGGUGCCCUCCUCGGGCAAGGCUCGGGGGCUUUCUCCUGGAAGGCCACUGACUUUGCCAAGAUCACGAGGGAGGCGCUCGGGCACCACAUGGAGGCGUGCUUCAUGGCAAGUUUUUUGUGAAGAAUCUACCAUAUAUUUGUUGCAAUAUUUUAUAAAUAAAUUUUAUAAAACAUUAGGACAUAUUUAAUGCACAAUUGACCAAAUGGUUGGGUGUCAAAAGUUUUGAUCCACCUCCGGUGAAAAAGACAAAUUUCUGUCGAUUCAGCUGGAAGCGGGUCAAAUUUGAACUGUAGCUACCUCGUAGUUUGCUCUUUAUUUUUCCAAAAAUCAUUUAUAGGUACAUAAGUAUCUAUUUAAUCAUAGAAAGACCGAAAAAAUUCCAAGAUUCAACCACUAGCUAGGAACAGUUAUUCCCGCUGUUUUGACCGCAUUUUCAAAUGGGCAUAAAACAUUAAAACAGUUACAAAAUUGUAAAACAUUCGCAUUGUGUCAUUAUAUGUGACCAAGUUACCAUCAAAAAUGAUAAACUUGUAAUACGGCAAUUAUUUUAAAAAAGUGUUCUCACAAACGAGUUAUCAAGCAUGAAGAUUCAUGGCUUUCAAGCGAAAUGAUCAAUCUUAUGGCCAAAUUCAUGACAUAGUUUGUUCAAAUGAUCUCAUAUUGUGCACAAGGGUGCAUCUUGUAAUGGCAAACAAUGUUGCCUAAGGAAGUUUUUAUUUUCUUUGGACGAAAAAUACAUUUUCCAUAUCUCGAGUGCCCAAAAUGUGUUUUUUUGUGAAGGACCUAUAGUAUAUUUGUUGCAAAAUUGUACCAAAUCAAUUUUCUAAAAUACGAGGACAUAUUUAAUUCACAAUCGACCAAAUGGUUGGGUGUAAAAAGUUUUGAUCCACCUCUCGUGAAAAAGACAAAUUUCCGCCGAUUCAGGUGGAAGCGGGUCAAAUUAGAACUGUAGCUACCGCGUAGUUUGCUCUUUAUUUUUCCAAAAAAUCAUUUCUAGGUACAUAAGUAUAUAUUUAAUCAGAGAAACACCAAAAAAAUUCCAAGAUUCAACCACUAGCUAGGAACGGUUAUUCCCGCCGUUUUGACCACAUUUUGAAACGGGCAUAAAUAAUUUAAAAAAAAAUAAAAAAUUGGAAAAUCUUUGCAUUUUUUCAUUAUAUGUGGCCAAGUUACCAUGAAAAAUUAUAAACUUGUAAUACGACAAUUAUUUUUAAAAAGUGUUCUCAAAAACGAGCUAUCAAGUGCGAAGAUUCAUGGCUUUCAAGCCAAAUGAAAAAUCUUAUGGCCACAUUCAUGACAUAGUUUAUUCAAAUGAUCUCAUGUUGUGCACAAGGGUGCAUCUUGGAAUGGCAGGCAAUGUUGCCUAAGGAAGUUUUCAUUUUCUUUGGACGAAAAAUUCAUUUUUCAUUUUUCGAGUACCCAAAAUGAGUUUUUUUUGUGAAGGACCUACCAUAUAUUUGUUGCAAAAUUGGACCUAAUCAAUUUUAUAACAUACUAGACCAUAUAUAAUGCACAAGUGACAAAAUUGUUUGGUGUCAAAAGUUUUGAUCCACCUCUAGUGAAAAAGACAAAUUCCCGCUGAUUCAGCUAGAAGCGGCUCAAAUUUGAACUAUAGCUACCUUGUAGUUUGCUCUUUCUUUUUCCCAAAAAUCAUUUCUAGGUACAUAAGUAUCUAUUUAAUCAGAGAAACACCAAAAAAAUUCCAAGAUUCAAUAACUAGCUAGGAAUGGUCAAGCCCGCCGUUUUGACUGCAUUUUGAAACGGGCAUAAAAAAUUCAAAAAAAUUAAAAAAUUGGAAAACCUCUGCAUUGUGUCAUUAUAUGUGACCAAGUUUCCAGGAAAAAUAAUAAAUUUGUAAUACGGUAAUUAUUUUAAAAAAGUGUUCUCAGAAAUGAGCUAUCAUGUGUGAGGAUUCAUGGCUUUCAAGCCAAAUGAUCAAUCUUAUGGCCACAUUCAUGGUAUAGUUUGUUCAAAUGAUCUCAUAUUGUGAACAAGGGUGCAUCUUGUAAUUCCAAACAAUGUUGCCUAAGGGAGUUUUCAUUUUCUUUUCAAGAAAAAUACAUUUUCCAUUUUUCGAGUGCCUGAAAUGAGUUUUUUUUGUGAAGGACCUACCAUAUAUUUGUUGCAAAAUUGAACCUAAUCAAUUUUAUAAAAUACUAGGCCAUAUUUAAUGCACAGUUGACAAAAUGGUUGGGUGUCAAAAGUUUUGAUCCACCUCUGGUGAAAAAGACAAAUUCUCGUCGAUUCAGUUGGAAGCGGGUCAAACUUGAACUGCAGGUGCCUCAUAGGUUGCUCUUUAUUUUUUCCAAAAAUCAUUUAUAGGUAAAUAAGUAACCAUUUAAUCAGAAAUACAUGGUUUGAUGGCGAGACAUCGAGGUUUGGACGGUGGGCGAGGGCCCCAACUCUAGAGCGCAUACGCUCGCAUGCCGCCGCGUGGUCACCGCAUGACCGUGGCGUUACCAUGCGUUCUGGGUGGCCUAGGCAUGUCUAGUGGGUUGGGCACUCCCCAGGUAGGUGCUAGGAAGAAAAUUAUAACAUAAGAUUCCCAUGAGGAGACCGAACUAUUCUCAAACAUGAAUUAUUAUCCAAGUGUUUGAUUAGCGGUACGGGAAAUGCACAUGGCCAAUGGGCAUGAGUUUUGGCUGAGGAUGAUCAUAUACUAAGAAGAAUGUCUUCACAAAUUUUUAGGGAAAUCAAGAAUACAUAAAUAACAUUUCCUUCACAAAGUGCUGCUCUGAACAAAAUAGGAAAAUUAAUAUUGUUGAGUUAUUUUUUAACUAGGCAAGCAAGGUUCUUGACAUAUUUGAUUAAGAUAUGAUCCAAACAAUUUAUGAGAAAUUUUUUGGAAAUUUUUGGAAUAACUGAAAUAUAGGUUGCUUCAUAACCUAGUGCAAAACUUGACACAUGGACAUGACACAUAGGCAAGACUGAUGAGAUGGCGCCUAGUCAUGACAACCCACCACAAUCUACAAGGCUAUGACCAUCUAUAUUGGUCGUUAACAACGAGAAAUAAGGCAGCAGACCAGCACUGUUUGCUUUAUGACCAUUUCGUGUAAGGAAAUUACGACCUUUCUGACCAAAAUGGUCGCAAUGGUUUAGGAUUUGGAGCCCCCCGAACAGCUUUUAACCAAUUGGUCUCAAAUGGUCAUAGAUCUAUGACCAAUUCUUCCAGGGUCACUGACAGAAGGUCACUAGUUGACAUAUUUCUUGUAGUGUGAUCAGGUCAGGGCUAACGACAGCUGAGGUAUGCGCAGGGCCGGGCCCUGCCGACAUAGGGCGCAAAGCAAAUAGGAAGGAAAAAACUGCAAAAUCUUCGAAAUUCAUAAGCAAAUAUUACAGACCAUAGAUUGUUCUCACAAUGCCAAACACAACUUUAAACGCCUCCACAAGGCACGGUGCAUGUUGCAGGAGUUGGAACAGGACAGAAGCCGCGAAGAGAUCACCCUUGGGUAGCACCACCAACUCUCGAAGCCGCGGAGGCGGCAGCACCUCGCUUAGCCGCGAUGCUGAAGGCGCGGAACUUCGCUAGCAAGGCCUCUGCUCGGCCCUUCACAACCUCAGCAGCAGCGGCAGCAUGAUCGCCGCUCACAGGCUCCAGCAGACUGUCGAGGUCAGCGUUGGGGUCGCGAAGGUAGACGUGGCCGAGGAUGUGCGUCAGCGCUGCAGAAGAAAGGACACGAGCUUCGGCCUUGGACAUGGGGACUAUGCCGUCCACGACAUCUUCAACGCUUGGACCAAGAAGGGAAGCAGCUCAGUGGGGCCAUCCUAGGCGCCAGCCAAUGGUUUCUCUAAGCCGCCGUCGUAGAGCGUGUUCAGAGAUGCGCGAGCCCUCUCCUCCAGUUCUGCGAAGGCCACCCGAUCCUCAGCCAGGACCUUCGCCUUGACAUCCAACUCAACCUGCUUCGCCUUCAGCGCCUGCUCCAGUGUCUCCAACCGGCCGCGACUGGCCGAGAGCUCAGCGUCACGAUCCCUGACGGUGGACUCCCGAGCUUUCAUCUCCUCCUUCGCUUGGCGGUCGCGAACCUCCUUGGCAAGCUCGUCACACAGGCCUUGCAGCUUGUCCUCCAACGCCUUGCAGCAGCCCCGGACAUUCAAAGCAUCCUCCAAAGCUGCAUCGCGGGCCGCCUUGGCCUGGGAGGCAACUUGCUUCUCCUCCUCGGAGGCCAACACAGCCUGGCUCAGCGCCGCUCGGAUGGAAGCAUCAGAGCGAACCCAACCAGAGACCAACUCCAGGCGCCCGGCCACCAGGCGGGGGUCGGCGCCCGGAAGAUCUUCUCGCAGCCGACCCAGCUUGGCAGCAGCCCAAUCCAAGGCGGUGGAGUAGGUUGCGGAGGCGGAAGCUGGUGGGGUUGGAGGAGAAGGCGGCAGCGUCAUCACGACAUCAGGCGUCGGGGCCUUCUGAGCCUCGGCGGCCUCGACGACAGCAUCGAGCGCGGGCGCCUCUGGAUUCAGCAGGGCCGCUGGGGUUGGAUUAACGCUGGUGCGUCCCUCUCGGCCUCGUGAGGAUGACCAGGCAGGGGAGGCACGAGCCUCGCCGCCUCCUUCUUUCGCAGAUGAAGGCGCAACCCCAGCAGACGAGCCUGCCUUGAGUAGGGCCACCGAGGCCCCUUUCAGCCUCUUCGCCGCAGGCAUCGUCCUAGCCAAAAAAGACAGACGUCAAGCCUUGACGACAGAAAUGGGAAGCAAAGCGGAAGUCAACGACUCACUGGUCAGCCGCCGCGGGCUCAGACGUCCUCCGGCAAAGCUUGAAGCCCGAAAGCCUCCUGCGGGGCUUAGCCUCGGGAGGUUUGGAAGCGGAAGACGCACCAGAGGGACUGGAGCUAGCUUCAGGCAGCCCCAGGUAGACCCUCGGGAGACCAGCCCCGUCCUGUCCUUCUUUGGGACCAAGGGAGGGUCUUCUCCCCCUCGCCUGGCGCCGGCCUCGUCGUCGUUCGGCAUGGAGCGGAGGGCGUUGGAUCUGCGCCAGGGGGAGGUCUCCCCCGUCCCCUCAAUGGUCGUCGCGGAGUCGUGCUCUUCUUCCUCCUCCUCAUCUUCCUUCUCCCUCCUGCCGGAGUCAUCGGAGGACAAGUCCACCAUAGCCAUCGCAGCCAGAUCCCCGGGAGCUUCCGUCGGUACCAGUCUAUCCCCGUUGAAGGUGGGCAUGGCAUUCACCACCAUCUCCCAGACAUCACGAAGAAACAAGGGGACCAGAGCACCCUCCGGGCUUGCCACAUCCUCCCCAACCAAGGAACGGAGGGCCUCGGCCUGAUGCUCGUUGGCCACGGCUACCGAACUCAGGCGGAGGAUGGCAUCCGCAUCCUCGAGCCUCCACAGCGGGCAUGAUUGCACCUGAAUUGGAGCCACUUGGUGCGCCAGGAACUCCCUCAGGAGUGUGGCCCCGGUCAGCUUCACCGCCCUCAGGUCGCCCGGCCUCAGGUCCGUAUUCAUCUUCUCCAGCACAAGCUUCGCCCGACGAUCGUCGAGCUUCGCACGAGACUACGCAUCGAUGGCCUGGGGCUGCCCCGUGGGCAGCGCCAGCCGGGGGUGGAUGCGUCUGGCGUCCAUCAUGACCCACUUGCUCCGGAAGUCGCUGACCCUCUACCCAGCCAUUGAUAUGGCGUUGGCUUUGGAGUACGCAACAAAGCCCGCCCACGCUGAGAUGUGGGCACCGGAGACUCAGAGGGGAAGAAAUGGCGCAGCAAGGCCAUCGAAAGCAUCAUCACGACGUGUGCCUCGCAGUAAUAAGAGAAGAUCGCCAGGAGAAGGACAGAGUUGGGUUGGAGAUGCAAAGCAUGUAGAUUGUACUGGCGAAGGAGCGCAAAGAAGAACUCAGAGAAAGGAGGCACCAGGCUAGCAAUAUUGGCGGUCAUGAAGAACGGGUAGAAAGUGCUCCCCUUGUCUUCCGACUGAGCGGAGCCGGGCCGGAGCGCGGUCUCCCCAAUCUCGCUGCCCUGCGCUGCUGCCAUCAGGUGCGUGAGGGCAAGAUUUUUCUCUGUCAUCUUUGGGGGAUCUAGAGCUGGCGAGUACCAGGCCAGUGGAGCCCCUGCCGAGGUCUUGCGAGGCGCCAUUGCCCGCCGGAGGUGAGAGAUUGAGGCAGAUCUGGAAGAUUUCGGAAGCGAGAGGGCGAAGGGCAAGAAAGGGGAUCUAAAGCAAGGCGGACGAGAGUAGUGAAGGAAAGCCUAACCCAGACCAGCCCUUUUGUCAGAUGGGCAGUUGCCGAGGCAACGUGGGUAAGCGGAGACGCCCAUGUCCAAUCAACCGCCAUGCGGCACCGCGGGCUGAUGGGGCCCGCGACACUCCGCACUUUCCCCUUAGCAUCUCUACUAAGCCAAGUCCAAGCGCGCCUUCUGCCCGGGGGCUACUCUCGGCGUUUUGGGAACGGGGGUCCCCAGACUUGCAUGCCUUCGGCCUGCGGCAUGGAUCAAGUGGUGGCCCAGUACGGCCCAUCUUCAUCGACUCAAGCUCAAGACCCUCGUGAGGGUCCAAGCCUCGCGGGGCGGACGACAAAGGCCUCCUUAGGAACGGCCUCACCAGGCAGGCUCGCGAGGAGGUAGAGAGAUCAAGGCAAGGGUACCUCGCGAGGUGCUCGUGACGCAAGCCAUGACGAUCGAGACUAGGCGGGCGCCAGGCGGCCGCCUGCCUUUGCAGUGUCCUUGUUUCCUCUUUGGUGCAAAGGGGGCAAGCACAGACCAAGGCAUCGGGCAAAGGCUACCAUUCUGGUGCAACGAGACCAAGACCAACAGAGCGGCAGGACGGAGGUCACCGUGGAGCCCAAGAUGGCAUCAUCGCCAGUGCCUUUGGCAGCCGAAGACCAACUUUACUCAGGAUAAGUUGUACUAGAUGGUCCCCUUCAAAAUGGCCGUUGUUGGCGCCCUUCCUGCUCAAUAUUUGGGAAGAGGACCAGGGCCUCUAUAUAUAGGGCUAGCCAUCACAGUAGGGAGGCAUCGGGGAUUCAGUUCAUCGACUCCAUCGCAAGAACACCCCUCGCAAGGCUGUUCUUCCUCUGUACUAUUCAUCACCAGCCCCUGAGGCAAUCCACACACCACACACUGGUUUAGGGUAUUACAGCACAAUGGUGGCCUGAACCAGUAUAAACCUCGUGUCCCUUGUGUUGUUCAUCUUGCUAGCUUAGAUUCUCAGCGAGGCAUUGGGACGUAGAUCGGUAGGGGAGAGAUCUUCGUGCGCACCCUAGAGUUUGAACCUUAAGGGUUUUGCUGGAACCCCACAUCCGACACUGACCAAGAAGAAAUGGAAUCUGCCGGCAAGUGCAUCAACCAUGACAUGACAUUGGGCUUAAGCACCAACGGGAAGUAAUUGGCAAGCACCUUGAUGUCUCGUUCCCCAGCAUCCUGGAUUGCGAUGGUGUAGAUGAUGAGGAACUCUGACGGGUGAGUCUUGCCGUUGUACUUCUCUCCAACGUUGGGGUUGAACGUGCGAUGGGAGGGCCACUGGAACUGCCACAGCUCACAAGUAAAAGACGGGCAACCCACCUCAUAGGGUAGGCCACCAUAGCCUUCCAAUGCUGAGUGGUCCACAGUGGGUCAUGCUCGCCUAUCUGACUGGCGGCGCGCUCCACGCCGACGCUCGAUGGUAGUUUGAGCAUCUUCAUGGGCUUGCUCCUGGAGAACUUGACGCUGAUCACGGGGGGUCCGUGGAUCGGAGGUUGCUAUGGAGAUAUUGUCACAAGAGUCAUCACGAUGGAUCGACACCUGCGGUGGCUGGCGUGGCAUAGGAGAGUGCAUUGUGGCUGCAUCACGUCCAGCCCUCCCUCCACUGGGAUGAAGUGGCUCGACAGAGCGUCAGCCUAUGGACGCUGCUGGUCAUGGCUCAUUUUUGUUGGCAAUGCCGACGAGGCUCCGGACGGUGGCUCUCCACUCGUCGAGCUUCCCCGCAGAAGGAGGGAAGUCGAGGAGCAGCUGCGCGCGCGCCAAGCUUCGACUGGCGUGGGCGGCAGCGAAAGCUGUGUGGACCGUGACGCACUCUGACCUCUAACCACAUUAGAAGGAGCUCUAUCAUGGUCCUCUGGCCAUACACCAUUUUUGCCAGCGCUUUGACGUGCAAGCUGUUCUUCUCCGCCCCGCAAGUGAUGCACGGGGCUCUUCCCAUGGCAGCGCCCGGGGUCACCAACAUGGUGACGUUUCUCGUUGCUCCCAACUUGGGAGGAGUGUGGCGUGGGCGCCGGCGUGGGUGUCUUGGAGGUCGCCGCGCAACCGGCAGGCGGCACAGGGACGGCUCUGGAGGGCCCCGCGCCGCCUGCGGGGUGCACAACUUCAUCUCUGGAUCUGGCGGCGGGCGGCUCAUCGUCUCGCUCACGAGCGACGUCACUCGCCCUGGUCUGGCUGCCAGAGCAAUGCGGGUGUUCGCGGGCCGUGCCCCAGGUUCUGUCCGCAACGACACCGCUCCCCGUCCGCACUAGUACGGGUAGUCCAGCGCCAGAUGAGCCGAUCGCUAUCAUCAUCUUCCUCUUGGGAGCCAUGACGAUGAGGCACUGCUGAACUAACUAUAGAACCAGAUUCUCUCAACUAUGCCCCCUACCUGGUGCGUCAAAGAUGUCGGUGGGAAUGACACAUAUGGGAUCAUGGGAAUCCCUACUACGGUUACGGGGCGCGGGGUUGAGAGAAGAGCGGUAUCAGCAGUCAGUCCAAGCACACGGGUCGGUUACCCAGGUUCAGGCCGCGAGGAUGCGUAAUACCCGAGUCCUGCUUUAGUGUCUAUUUGAGUGUUCUUGGAGUUCUUGAGCUAGCUACCAUGAGUAACUUGUGAAGGGGUUCGAAUCGAUAUCUAGUAUGCCUUGGCCCUCCUUUUAUAGUCAAGGGGAUCGCCACAGUGGCACACAGGAGGUGGCAUCAGUGUACACUGGCUAAGCUAAUCGCUACCUAUUAUGGGACAAGAUGCAUUUAAUGCGCCCCUUAGGUGUCCCCCUCACUUUAUCAGGUACGGAAACCAGCCCCCGUCCCGUCCAUCGCCGCUCCGCCUUGCUUCAACACGCGUCCUGGCCAACGGUGUGCGCGGUGCCAUGUAGGCUAGCAGGCUGCUGAGGUGGAACGGUGGUAGGGCCUUCACGAAGAUUUGCAUGCCACCAUGUAGGCGCUCGCUGAGUUGGCCUGGAAGCCUCACAUCGACACACAGGUGCCUGCCUAGCUGGUGGGCUGGGACCUGCAUGGAGCGGCGGUGGAACCAUGGCGGGUGUGGUCCUGGCUGUGGCCCCACAGAUGUCCUCUGCAAGGGCCUUGCUGGAGCCUCGACAAUGGUCUUGCCGCGGCACUGUGGUCGUCCCCGACAAGGAUCUUGCUGAAGGUCCUAUGGAUUUCCUUGGCAAGGGUCUCACCAAGGAUCACCGUCUUCCGAUCCUUGUCUUCACAAAGAUCUGCAUGCCACUACAGAGGUGCCUCCGAAGCCCUGGUUCCAACGUAGUUGAUGGCGUUCGGAAACCUUGGGCUCAAGUGUGGCGCACUCUGUUAGUAUUGGGCAAGUUGCCCCGGCAAGGUUCCUGCCGGAGUUGCGGAGGCUGCCCCGGCAAUGGUCUUGCCGGGGCAGUCCACCUCGCCCUCUUGGCCUUUGUGCUCCUGGUCUUGGCAUUGCUUUGACUAUCCUGCAUCUUUGACUCCUCCCUCUACCCUGCGUAGUCUGGUCAUGGGCGUGGCUCUGACUUCCCGUGCACUAGUAAGGGGUACAAAGGAGAACCUUUACUUUAGUACACCGACACUGGGCAAUGACUCCUACUACCUGAUCGAUGCACAGAAGCCCAGGGCACGCAAGAGGGACGACUCCGGCAAGGAGUUGGAACGCGCAUGGAACGCACAUCUACUUCGAAGAUUUUACGGUUAAUGGAGUUUGUACCAUGCUAUCUUUUGUAUUAAGUACCAUACAUCGGGUCCCCCGAGGAGCACUCGGGGACUUCCCACUUUUAUCUAUAUGAUAAGUUCUACGCCUAUGAAUGUGUUAUUACAGUUUUUCCGCCUUGCACCUGGGUUCGACCAGUCCGAACGGAGGCUUGUCGCCUUGUAUUAUGUUGGUGCUACCUGCAGUCGAACAAGUAGUCUGCCAGUAUCCAAGCCCUAACUUGCUGCAAGCCGCAGCUCGUAGAGUGACUGUUCUACAAGCAAGAGUCAAAGGCAAUAAACGAUGGCCAACAUGAAAAAUGGCCAAGGGCCAAUGCACCUACAUAACAUAAGUCGGCUCCCCGCCUUGAUGACCGACUGUUAAGCAGCCGGUCGACCGGCUUCUCACUCACCUUGCUAUGUCCCUAAAAGCUGAAGUACUUGCCCUCCCAAAGGCCAAGCACUUGUCCCAGCCACAGUCUGCAGAGCGGCUAUCCAGUUGGCAAGGCGGCAGCCAAGGGAGGGCGGCAAAGGAAAAAGCCAAGAAGGACCUAAAAGCAAGCAAAAUGGAGUCAAUCACAAGCAUAGCAGAUGCAUAAUAAUAUUUACAUAUGCAAGGCCUUUAAGCCGGAAUUCAAAUAGAGUUGUGAAUACACCACCAGUGGGUGGAACUGCACACACUUAACAAACGUUGUUCAAAAGAUUACUAGGCAGGGAGAAAAGAUAAGGAUAAGACAACCGCCUAGGCCAAGGGCGCAACCGGAGAGUCCGGCAGGCUGGUGGAGUCGGCAGCGCCGGCUGGUGGAGUGGCUAGCGGCUCGUUGCUUGAGGUACGGUCGAGUGGAGGCUGGCCGUCUGCUCCGCCUUCCGGCGCGACGUCUUCAUCGUCCUCACUCUCCUCAUUUUCUCUCUCGUCCCUCGAGGCGAUCUCUUCCACCAAGUCCUCGCCAUCCUCCGGGUUGAGCCCAAACUUGUCCGGUGGUAGCUUGGCGCCUUCCUCGUUCAGCUCAGGAACACAGACACUGGUGUUGGUGUUGUCGGCGAUCGCUGCGGCGCGAUGGAUAAUCGCAGGCCUCACCACCACCAGCUCUUCGUGGGCCUCCUACCGGAACGUGGCCAACUGGGCUAGAUCUAGCCCAGGGUACCAUGCCCUGAUGAACUCCAAGGCCCGCCUGGCGCCUAGCCGAGCCAAAGAAGCCUUCCACGCCUCGAAGCGGCCGACUGCCACGUCCAGCCAAUUGGCAGUCUGACUAGGGGUGCGCGGAGCCUGGAUGCCUAGCCAUAGGGCGGAGACCACCUCAGCCCCGACAGGCUGUAGCUGGCGGAGCAUCCGGUGAGCCGGUUGGAGACGGGCCUGGAUAGUGAGGAGCUGCUCGUCGAGCGUCCAAUGGGCGUUUGGCGUAAUCUUUGCGCUGACCUGCCUCCGCUCUCCGCGACUGGCUUCAAUGGCUUGGCUGGCAAUGAUGGCUUAGCCAGGGAAAUACUCAAUGUAAGAUGAAAAAGAAAGAGAUACGAAGUCGGAAGCCAGAUCGUACAACAGGCGGUAGACAAAGGAAAGAGGAGAACAAAUCACCAUCGACCAUAUCCUUGAACCGGCCGUAGCCGCCGUUCAGCGCCCUCUCCGUAUCGGCCGAGUUUGCCGCCUGGGCCUCAUACCCGGCCUAGAGGGUGGUCUUGCUGUCCUUCGCCUUCUGGAGGGUCACCUUUUUGAAGCUCCUCUUGGUUGGCCAGCUUCUUGACCAGACGAUCGCGGUCCUGGGCCUGCUUGCUGCGCUCCUCCUCCUUGGCACGCAGCACGGUCUGGGCCUCGCCCAAUUGCUCCUGCAGACCGGUGUUAGCUUCUGCAAAGACAACAAAGAAGGGUGAUCAGUAAGAAAGAAUGAAAUGAGAAGUCAACAAAAGAGAUCCCGCCCAACUGCUUCUGCAAUCUCGGGGACUACACCCAGCAGGUGCGCUGACGCGCCCCCGCAAGAAAGAGAAGGCGGAGUGCUUACUCUAGCUUUUGAACAAGUCAGCCGUUUUAUGACUCAGCUCCCGGACAUGGGAGUUGAAGGCGGCUGCACGGAGAUUAUGAUAGUCCUGCAACAAAUGCAAACAAGAAAGAAAACAAGUCAGCACCCGGACCUACUUGGAAGUUCCAGGCCGCCUGCUCAGCAGCCAGCCCGGAACUUGGGGACUACACCCAGUGGAUGCACUGACGCGCCCCCACGGAAGAAUACAAGAAUCAAGGGCAAACAAGCAUACCUGGAUGGCCACCCGCGACGCCAGGAACUCCUGGUUGUAAGUAUGGAGGGCGGCAGCCUUAGCCUGGAGCCAAGUCCGGACGACAUGCGCUGCCACAUUCAGCACGGCCGUCCCGCCUUCGGCAUCCACUCCGCCUGCUGAUGCUGGAGGCAUCCACCUAUAGGGCCGACGAGCUAGUGCCCCCAACCUCCUGCGGCCGUGGCACCGAAGCCGCCUUCUCUGCACGCGGACGCGCCGGAGAGUGGACCGUAGGGUCGGCUUCCCCUGCCAGGUCUCCACUAGCCGGCGGCACCGGUGGUGCGUCAGGCCGGACGCCUUGAUCUUCGACGAUUGGUGCCGAUGGCGGCACCUCCGCCUCCAAGGCGAUGUCGUCACAAUCUCCCUCUCCAUGGCCGGCUGAUAGCCGCCGGCUCCUUCGGACGGCACCAAGAUUUCGGGUGUGGGUGGCAGGGAGCAGAGGGGAACGACGAGCUGCAGGGGUUGGCCGCUUGUGGCCACUUCUGCCUGCGCCCUUGUCGCAUCAUCAACUUGCGCCUUGGCAGCCUCGUCCGCCUCCUCCUGCGCCGUCUUGGCCGCCCCCGCCUGCUGCUACUCCGCGCCUCCCGCGCGUUCCUCUCUAUCGCCGCCUAGAGCUCGGCGAGCGGGUCCAUCAGACGGGCGUUGGCGGAGCCCUCGGCCGCCCCAACCACCGAGGCGGUGCCAGAUCGCUCAAGAGAGAGAGGUGCCCUGAAUCAAGCAAACAAAAAGAGUUCAGAUUGGAGCUAUGAGUAAAUAAGAAGAAGAAAGCGUAAGGCAAGUCAAACACUUACGCGCAUACUGUCACGGGCUCCUUCACCGCCCUCCGAAGGCGGUUCGCCUUCACGGCGGCCUCCUCCCGCCUGGUCGCCGCUGCUGAGCCCCUGGGCUUCUUUUGCCGACUACCGUACUUCGACGGUGCAGCUCAGUGUUUCUGCGCGCCGCCUGGAGCAGCCGGCAUGGCGGAUGAGCUCGUGCCCACCCAGUCGGCGGCCGGCUGACAGUGCGGCACGGCCUCCUCAUCGUGGUCCGGCCAGUCCUCAAUGUCGCUUCCACCGCCGGAGCCGCCUGCCUCGCAACCACCGCCCGUGGCGUCGAUGUCCAUGAGGGCGGCCGCCCCCAAGUCAGGGUCGUCCGAAUCGCUCUUCGCUCGGUCGGGGAGAUACUCAUGAGUAUGCCCCGCGGCGCUGACUGCCGACUGGAAGAUGGCAUUCUAUGUCAUGGCUUACUGGUCAGACGGGAUGCGAGAACCCGACAACUGAAUAUAAAGAGAAGAAACGAAGACUUACAAUAGGCGGCAGAUGGGCGCACGAGUAAGGUUCCUUGCCGAACUGCCACUCCUCCGUCGGGAGCUUGCAGUUCGAAAACUGGUUUACCAAGUGAGCCACCUCCCCGUGUGGCAUCUCCUUGGUGCUUCUCCUGUUGGGGUACCUAUUCCCGCUCAUUUGGAAGAUCAUGUGUGGCCGACCUUGAAGGGGGAGCACCCGGCGUGCCAUGAAGGCGGCCAGCAGGUCCGCCCCCGUGAGGCAUUCCAACAGCGUCAUCACCUUGAGCCGCUCAAUGGCCGUGGCAGAGACGGCCGAUAGCAUCCUAGGAUUGUACGACCAGUUGGCUCGCGAUCCAGCCGGCGGGCCGGCUGCGUAGGCCGGCAGGCUGACAAAGUCGGCCUCUGGGUGGACAUUCUUCACAUAGAAGUACAACUGCUGCCACAUUUUGACCGAGUGUAUCAGCGUAAUGGACGGGAAGGUGUUCUCGGUAGCCGGCCUCCGCACCGCGACAAAGGCGCUGCACUGAGCUGGUACCCCCUUAGAGACGGUGCCGAGCUUCGUGUAGAAGAACUCGCCCCAGAGCUCUAUGGUGGGGAGGAUGUCGAGGAAGACUUCACAGAGGGUGACGAAGGAGGACAGCAACACCACCGUGUUUGGCAUGAGGUGGUGCAGUUGGAGACCCUAGAAGUUAAGGAAGGAGCGCAAGAAGCCGCAUGCCGGCAGGCCGAAGCCGCACAUGUAGUGCGACCGGAAGAUGACAUGCUCGCCUUCCUCCGGCGGCGGUGAGAUUUCCCUUUCAGGCGGCAAGCGAACCCUCACGUAGUCCGGGCCGGGCAACCGCCGUGACCGGCGAAGGAAGUCGAUGUGGUCUUCAUGGACGGCAGACCCGUCCCACGCUCCGGAGCGCGCCAUGGGUGCAUGGAGCUUGCGAAGUGGACGAGCGGCGGCAAGAGAGCAAGCCCGCAGUGGUGUAGGAAAGCAACAGGAUGGCCGGAGCCUGCGACGGCGAGCUGCAGCACCAUAAGGAAGGAGAAGAAGCAGAAAAUCGCAAUGGAGGAGGUGGGCGCGCGUGCGCUUGCUGUUCCCCUCCUCCCCCUACUUAUAGCCCCAAACGGCGAAGCCGAGGGGGCGAGGCGUGGGGGGUCGUGGGACUAACUGGGCCCACAUCCCCACAACCCCGCGAUUAUUGCGCCAUAAUGGCAUGCUUUAACCGUUCCUAGAAUGCCAACUGCCCGCCCCAGCCACAGCGGAUCCACGCGUGGGCCGAGGCGCAGCGGUGGAGGGCCCCAGCAUGCGGUGACGUCCCAUCACGUGCGUGGGCCGGCAGGUUGGCCCAGCCAGCCAGGGCCGCGUGGCGCACAGGCAACGAGCGGCCGUCUUGCCGCCCGGUGAGCGUGCCACCUGGCUCCCGCCUUCAUGUUUCAAAACCCUCAAGGUGGCGAGCCUGCUCGUAGUCGUCUCCUAGUUGUCGUUACUUCAAAGUAGGAAGCUGCUGAGGCCUCUCGCUUUUUCAGCCACCACACCCCACCAGCUUUGGGGACUACUGCCGGAGUAAAUGGCCACGAGUAGCCUCAUCUGCACCCCAUGUCAUUUCAAGACAUCGGGGCUGGCUUCGCCCCUCAACCCUCCAAGAAGAAAAUCCGCCUUGUUGUGGCCGGCUGGUCCAAGCGGCCGGCUGCAACAAGGCGGCAAAGCCCAGAAAGCGGCCCUACGGUCGGCCGACUCCUAGCAGGCGGCCACCAGAGUGGCUGGCUCCUGCCAAGUGCCUCAUCCCUGUGGCCUCAAAGUUUGCACCCACAUAACGGCAUACAGUGUGGCCUGCCGCCCCUGAAUUCCGGAGCGGGCGUGCCAACAACGCAACGUACCGGGCGGCCGUCCCUCACCCGGCGCGACACUGUUGCCACGUUGAUCUUGACAUCAUCCAUGGCAAGGCAGCCAUGCCUCCACGACGGGCUGUCAGUAUGGCCCGUAGGCGGCAGGCCAUACCUGACAAAAAGACACCCGAAGGCGGCUUGCCCAGACUAGUUGGCAUAGAGGGAGGCCGGCUCCUAGCAGUCGGUCCUCCACCUCCUUAGAAGUUUGUGCGCCAUUAACCCGAUAAGACGAGGUGUGGAAACAGUGAACGCCCACCAGGCGGCGACACUGUAGCUACGAUAUCCCUAACCAAGCCAUCGUCAUCAGGGAUAAGGCUACAGUAACGAGCCGCCAACAGGGCCCACGGAUGGUGGGCCUAACCUCUCAGCCAAGAGCCCGACACCCGGCAGGACCCACAGGCGGCGGGCCCCAUCAUCCAGCGGAGAAGCCGGCGACCACAGGCACUGACGGCCUAGGCCUACACCCAGCCGGAUUACCAUUGUACCCCUGGGGAGUAGGCCUAUAUAAACCCCCCAGGGCACCCAUGCAAAGGGUUCAGCUCUUAGACCACACACACCCCACAUAGAGAGAGGAGUAGUGCUGGCCUUGCUCUUCUUCCUCCUCUAGACGAAAUGCUCAAGGAGCCUAUUGUAGCUACUUGUUGAUUUAUUAACCAUGCGGAGACCCGCGGAGUAGGACUAGGGGUGUUAUCUCCUAGGAGAGCCUCGAACCUGGGUAAGAUCCACCGGCAUGCAUGUCUUCACCUCAUCCCGUUUCCAGGCACCGGUGAUGUCUUACUAGCUCCCACAAUGAUUAGCCAUCCUUUGGCAUAUGUCGCACCAACCACCCAACAACUUGGACCACCUGGAGGCGCUCCCACAAUGAUUAGCCAUCCCAGGUGGCGACUGACAAGUUGGACCACCUGGAAGGCGAUGAGAAGUGUUGCAUGAUGGAGCGCCUCCAGCAACUUCUCGACGCGGAUGCCAUGCAGCAAGCCGACCGCCGUGUGGUGGAACCCGACAUGCAAGACGAGAAUUGCCUCCCUCGCCGCGAGCACGGUGCAACCUCUCGGUCCCCAACUGUCAGUGACCAUGGAUGGAGAGACCCAAAGCCGGCUGCUAGCCGCAGUCAGCGCACCCGCAUCACGAUUAAGCGUGAUCGAGACAGCCAUCCACGGGCGAUGGAACGACAAGAUGACCUGCCGCCUCCCCCACGCAGGGAUAAGCGCCCUUCCCUGCUGCCUAUUGAGCAUCCGACUCUCGGAGGCUCCCUUGGCCCUUGUGAAGGAGUCAGAUAGAAUGACGACUCCCACCGGAUCGACCGACUCGCUCAGUCCCUAGCAGAACAAGAAGAAGAUGCAGUCGGCCUGGCAGAUUUUAGCCCCCGCAUCAGCAACGAGCCCUUCCCCAAAGGGUUCUCACUCCCACGAGACACUCCCAAGUACAACGGCUCCGUGAAGUCGGAGGACUGGCUGGCCGACUACUCCACGGCCGUCAAAAUAGCAAACAAUAACAAGCGUGUUGCCGUAAAAUAUGUUCCGCUCAUGCUCCAGGGCACAGCCCGGACAUGGCUAAACAACCUCAAGCCGCACAGCGUCAACAGAUGUCUGGAUUUCUAUGACGUCUUCAUCCGCAACUUCGCCAGCACCUACAAUCGGCCGCCCAAGCCUCGCAAUCUCUCCAUGUGCGUCAAAGGCCCGAUUGAGUCGACCCACUGCUACCUGACGCAUUGGGGCGAGCUAUGCAACUCCUGCGAAGAGGUGCACGAGGUGCAGGCCAUAGAGUACUUCACGGCCGGGUGCAGAGAAGGCACCCUACUCAAGCACAAGCUCCUCUGCGACGAGCCGGCCACCCUCGACGAGCUGCUGAUCAUAGCAGACAAGUACGCCACCGCCGACUCCUCCAUGAAGUCGAAACUCUGAGUGGACUUGUCCGGGAAAGUGCUCCCCUCGGCUCCUAAAACACCGGCUGGUGACACCAACUUGUGCCAGCAGAAUGACAACAAGCGCAAGGCCCAGCAGCCGGCUUCCAGCAGCCGGCAGGUAGCAGCAGUCAAAGAUCAGCAGACGACUGGUCAGCCCGCCCCCAAGCGCCAGUGAACCGGCAAGGGAGCAUGGCUGUCCACUUUCUCCUUCGAGCAGGCCCUCGACGCCCCCAUCCAAGUUUCACAGCGACUUGAAGCCAUCCAACCACACCACAUGGAAGUGCAACUGGCUCGCUUGGAUCGCCCAGGGAGAGGCCCUUCCCCCUUCCCCGCCAGUCGUCCCUGUAGCUCCGGGUGCUCAGCAGCCGGCAGGUCGGCCUGUCGGCACCAUCCAGGAUGAGUUCCUCGAAGAGCACGCCACUUACAUCGUCUUCAGAAGUGAAGUCGGUAACAGACAAGCAGACGGCAGCGACAGAGAGAGGUGAACGCCGUUAGCUCAGAGGUUCCCACCCGCAUGCACUGGUCCGAGAGGCCCAUCACCAGGAGCCAAGAUGACCACCCGACUGUGAUGCCCAAUCCGGGUUCAUACGCCCUGGUGCUAGAAGCGACCUUUGGAACGGAGAGGCGGUCUUGCCGGUUCGGCCGAGUUCUAAUAGACGGUGGCUGUAGCAUCAACAUCUGUACCGUGAGACCAUGGAAGGGAUGGGGAUCAAGGCCAAGCAGGUGCAGCCCUGCCAGACCGUCUUCCACGGCAUUGUACCCAGCCUUUUGUGCUCCCCAAUCGACAAGGUCAAGAUUGAAGUCCUAUUCGGCGACAGCAACCACUUCCACCGGGAGCCAAUCUGGUUCGAGGUGGUUGACCUGGAAAGCCCCUAACAUGCGCUCCUGGGCCGCUUAGNNNNNNNNNNNNNNNNNNNNNNNNNNNNNNNNNNNNNNNNNNNNNNNNNNNNNNNNNNNNNNNNNNNNNNNNNNNNNNNNNNNNNNNNNNNNNNNNNNNNACAGGAGUUCAAGUUUUUUUAAAGAAAGAUGUGCAUGGUACAUGACAGUACUGAACGCUCUUCCUCCCUUCAACCAUGCCAAGUAAUCAAUGGAGAAUGGAAACAAUAGUAUUUUUCUUAUUAAAAAGGACAUGGGCACAAAGUAAUAUGAAUAUAUCUUCAUGGUCCUAAAAUUAUGAAUUAGCAUCAACCUGUCGAGUAAAGGUAGACCGUAAAUGACACAAUCUAUGAACAAAACCAGUAAGACAUCUGACUAAGCACAUACAAACUACACAAAAGAAAUUAUGACAGCUGAGUACUAAGAUUGUAGGAUAGCUAUGCCCAAAACUAAUAUAUUCGGGAACGAGAACAAAAUAAAAUACAUAAUAUUUCAGCUCUGCACUUGAGGACGCAAUCCAUCCAAAUUCAGCUAACCAAAUUUCUCACUGAAUCUAACUUAAUUCAACCAGAUACAUGGUAUGGGAGAGUAAACGAUACAUACUCAUGUAAAAUGACGGAGAGGGGGCGAUACUGAAGAACUCCGAUGGCAAACACCUAGUUGCUGAGCGUUGUCGUGGGUAUACAUGCAGCCUGCAUCAAGCAGAAUGCCAACCACCACCGUACCCUGACAAUGAUCGCCAGUUAUGUUAAAAGAUUAUACAAGAACAGAAGUUGCUAUAUGAAAUAAGUAAAUAAACACAUAAUUCGAGCAGAUACAUUGGAUGUGAGAGUAAGACACAUACUCAUAUAAAUUGAUGGAGAGGGGGCGAUACUGAUUGCAUUAAUAUGGUCAUAGCAAGUGAUAAAAAAAGUGCACUGGGAUUUCCUUUUUGAAGUUAUUAGUUCAUACAAUUUCUGAUAUAUCCAAUAAUCUACGUGGAGACUGUUCGAGUUCCAUUUCGUUAAUCUACUUUACAGAUGACCUGGUAGCCUUUUAUAAAUUUUCUUGUUGUGAAGAAAGUUUCAAGCAGCUAACUCAAUAUUUACGCAGAGAGAUCAGGUUAGCUGAAACAAAAAAGAGUGAACACGGUGAUGGUCAUAAGUCUACUUGAUUAUUAUUUUUCUCCACGCCUUAAGUCUGAACUGAACUGUUAGAUCAUGAUUCGUGUCAUCUAAAUAUUACAGUUUGAGAACAGGACAAUGGUGGAACUUUGAGCAAACAAUUUUUUUUCUUUGGUUUCUAGAGUUACCACUGUAUAUUUUGGAGGCAAAGCUAUCCCUGUAUUAGGGAGAGCAAACUCGAAUACAGAAGAACACCCAUAAGCUUUAUACUGAAUCCCUGAUUUAUUGGAACAACCAAAGACACAAGUUCCGAAUUCCAAUUAGAUAGCUGCAUAGUACAGCCUGCUAAACUAGGAGCUAGAGGUAGUAUGCCUAUUCGAACUAUCUUAAGAUCAAGCUAAUUUUGUGGCGCACAUGGCCAUCUCCUGAAGCAGCUGAUGCAACCAAGGACUAAUAAACUGAAGAGCAUUCGAACAAACACUCCUAAAAGUUCGGAAUUCCAAUGGUUUGGUUUUGCUUCAGGCUUCAGGCUACCAUCAAACAGAGCACCUCAUGCACGGCAUCCCAGCGUACAUCUGGGGAGAGCAAUAGGAGAUUAAAGGAGGAAGUUAGAAGGGUCAUCUGGGUAAGGAAUUCUUAUUCCUCGCCCCAGCCCGUCUGUGCAUCCCAGCGUCAGCAGCCCGAUAUUUAAUCAACAAUCCAACCUGAACUUGAGUGGGAAAACAUCUCUACUAUUAAUCUCUACUAUUAAAGGAGAACCGAACGUCGUGAUGGUUCGACCUCCAUCUCCUAUCACCCUGCGCUAAAAAAGAUCGCAGACAAUAUCCCACGUUCGAGGCCAGCGAUAGGGAAAAAAAGACCCUCGGACGCACGUCCCACCCGAUCCACUCCCACGCCCCAUCACCUCCAAAUCCAAACCACCUCCAUGUCGAUCCCGUGUCUCUCCCCAAAGAAAUCGCUGUAGUCGGUCUCCUGCUUCCUCGCUUUACUCGGCCGCGGUUCUCUCCUCCCCAUCGUUCGUCCUGGGGCUACCUCAAAAACCGCACGUCCAAGUCCUGGCCGUCCCCUUCCUUCUAAAUCCACAAGCCCGGGCUAGGGGAGGAGCGAGGAUACGCUUAGACUGGUGGGGAUAUGACGACCUCACGCGUGGCGACCGCAUGCGUGCUGGGCCUACUAUGUAUUGACCGGAACGAGUCCGCCUUGCAAACGACAUGGUAGGUGGGCUGGCCUCCUCCUUGGCAGCGAUGGCGGGCAUCAGCGGAUCGGAGGGCAUGGUCUGAACCCGCGGUUCUUCGGCCAGAACAAGCAGCUGGACAUCUUGGCGCUGUUGUUCAUGGAGGGCGAUGAAGGUUGGUCCAACCAAUGGUGGCCUGGCGAGCCUCGUGGCGCUGGUAAAAUUGCUCACUACCUUUUCUCUUUUCGUGUCUUCUUCUUUCCCAUGAAGGUCACAUAAUCCCUCUAAUUUUUACUUCUUGCUCCAUAAUUCUUUUUUCUUAGUGGAAUGGAAGAAAUCAGAUGAUUAGACCUUUUGUUAUUUUGGACCAUUGAAUUACUUGAUGGUCAUCUCUUGCAGAUCUCUGAAAUGGAAAAAGUAAUAUUGCAUCAUCUCCCUGUACUCUGCAUGGUCUUAUUGGUACAGCCGGGUGGCCGUGCUCCCACAUCCCUAAACUUCAGUAAAACUAAUUUUUCUCGUUAAGGUAUAUUUAGAGCCUAAACAUAUAAAGCUUAUUUCACAAAAGGCUAUCCUAACUGUUCAAAUGGUCGCCUGUUUUCUGAUGUAAAUAGAUUUAGUUAAUGGGUUUCAGAAUCUUGACUCGUAUAAAUAUGACACUCGCUUCUUCUCUCAACCAUUUGGACAGUGAUGUCCUGUUGAGUUCAUGAAUUGGAUAUGCAUACUCUUUCUUUCCAAUGCAGGUGCUGGACAAUUUUGUGAGGCAUUUAGCCAAAAUAGAUAAUGUGCGCCAAUGCUACCAGUUUGUUAACUAUUUACUCCCUCCGUUCGGAAUUACUUGUCGUAGAAAUGGAUGUAUCUAGAUGUAUUUUAGUUCUAGAUACAUCCAUUUUCGAGACAAGUAAUUCCGAACGGAGGGAGUAUACGUCAGCAAAUAUUACAGAAAGAUGUUAUAUGGAUCUAGUGGUAUCCAGUAUGACAAAUGUGGGAAUAUCUUGUGGUCGUUGAACUUUGAAGCAGGAAGCUCUACAUGUACUUCCUCCCGCAUAAUUGCGUGAGUUAAAAAUUUGGCAAAUUCUCGAGUCAGGAAACUAGAGUGAACUAUCACUAGCUCUGCUAUUUUUAUUACCACACCUAUAAAUAUCCCAUUAAUGGUUAGUAAUUCGCGAGACCAUGAAACUCAUCUGAUGAAUACGCAUCACCGAUGCUUUUCUAAAUUUACUCAUUGUCAUACUUCUUAGACUAUUAGUUGGUCAGGCACAACACUCUUUUAAUGCAUUCUAUAGUUCUGAAACUGGUAUAAGUAUAUAUUAUCUGUACGUACUGUUAAUAUAAUGUUUGUUUCAGCUCAUGUAUGCACCAAGAAUAUGCACUAGAAUUUCUGGGCCUGCAGUUUACUCAAGGUUCUCAGAUGGCCACUUUCAUGCUUGCACGGAGGAUGCGAAGUUUACCUCGGACAGAACACUAGAUUUUAUACAUCAUUUGCAUUAUAUCUUUACCGAAAAAGGGUUUCCCCCGCUUUGUAUUCCAAAGCAACCAACAUCGAGUACAGAUAACGCUGUGGCGAGCAGCACAACACACCAAGAGAAAGAAGAAGAAACAAAUGCCAACCACGGCAGCUUGGCAAAGCGCGGAUGGACCGCCACCGCGGCGCCCACCGAACACAAAUCACCACAGACCGAGGCUCCGAUCCGCCGCGUACCAAGCAGUACCUCCAAGAAGGGAUGCAACGCCGACGACGCUGCUGCCCGGACGACUCCUCAGGUUUCCCCGGGCACGCGGAGGGAGGUGGGGGGUGGAUACCACCGACACCCUCCAGGAAGGAAUGGUGGCACCCGCAGGUGUCACCGCAUCGGGGCCGAAGCCGGCAGGGAUUUCUCCCGCAUUCCAACCCCAACCGCCCAACCGGACGGAACCGACCCGCCAAACCGACGCCCACCACCAUGCGCCAACGCAGUAGGGCCGCCACCCACGCCGCCUCGCUACGAACACCACCACGAGGCCAAGAGGACCGGAGAGAAGCUCACCACGACGGGAGCAGCAACACCGACGCCAAGCGGGAGGGAACCACCUCCACCGCCGUCAUGCGGGAGGCCCGUGCCUCCGGCACCGUCGCGGUAGUCGUCCGGACGCGGCAGCGGGGCAUGCCGGGCCACCCCUGGCCCGAAGCGGGCCCGUUAAGCCCCGCCGGCCGCGAUGUAGCAGGCCGGCGUCGUCGUCGCCGGCACCCAGCCGCUCGUCGCAUCUCCCCGCCUCCCAGAAGCCACGCAGGAGACCAUCCCCGCCGCCGGCCCGCCCAGGCCCAGAUGGGGCCCAAAGGGCCUAGAUCUGGGCUGAGCGGGCGACGCCAGAUCCCGCCGCCGCGCCGCCACGCCGCCAACGGCAGCGCCGCCGCCCAGCUGCUCGCCUGCAUGCGCCACGGAACCCCGCCGCCACGCCAGACCGCCGCCGCCUAAACGCACCACCCGGAGCAGCUCCGCCCGCGCCGGAGAGCGACCGGGAGGGGGAGGGCCAGGAGGCCGCCGCCACCAGCAGCCCCGGGGCCAAGCCGGCCGCGGGCGCCGGCGACGGCGCCAGGAAGGGAGGAGGGAGGGAGGGCCUGGAGGGAGGAGGCCUGGCGCGCGGCCGGUCGCCCGCGGGGGGGCGACGCGGUCGCGAGAGGAAAGGGAGGGAGCCUCCUUUCUCAGUGUACUACUACCAGUCCGCAUUAUAUCUUUUGAUCUUCGUGAUCCAGAAACUACCCCAUGCAUAGAGGAGGAGGAGCAGAUGGGGAGGAGGCGGGAAUCACGUCAACUCGCAGCGCUGUCGCUGGCCGUGCUGCGUCCUCUCGUCCGCAGGUGGAGGACUUUUUCCCCUUGCCGCCAUCCUACCUCCACCACUGUAGGGGCGUGUCCGGGUCCUCCGCCUCCGGCCGCCGUCGACGCAGGUUGAAACUCAUCGGGGGUGUGUGGCCGACUGGCAACGACAGUGGCAGCGAUGAUCAGGACAAGGCCGCCCAAGAAAUGCCAGACAUGAAACAAACUGACGGGUUAAUUUUCUGCCUCAACUUUACUUCACCAGUAGUUGAUUGUAGCGUGAAUUCUGCUCUUCUUCUAGGUUGUUGGGAGGAGCAACGCUGCCAGCAUGUGGCGGACAGAGCGGCUGCAGGUGCUCGACGUGGUGCCUGAGCAGGACAUCCGUGGUGAGCUGUGUUGUCUUAUUAUCUUUGCUCUUACUAUCAUGGCUGGGUUUGCAAUUUGGGGCUUUUAACUUCUCGCAUUUGAACAAAAAUGACUGGGAGUGGGGAUGGCAUGAAUAAUUGCAAUUUGUGAAUUGGCUGAAGCACGGAGGAGAAUAACUGACUGUCAAUGUGUCAAAAGUUGCUCAUAUCAACUGAAAAUAUAGAUGUUAUAUUCAGUCAUGCAGACAUAGAGUUCGUUUCUGUAUAUGAAAAUAGGAUUGUCAACGUAUGUUAUUUUGCUGUGAAUAAAUUGCAUUGCGAAUCACUUCAAAUUGUCUGCAAUAAUGACCAUUUCUUCAGAGAACAAGUGAAUAUGUAGGUUAUAGUUCAACACAUUGUAUCAUCAGUUCAUCACCCAAGACAACCUGAUAUUAGGUGAAGAAUUUCUCAUCUAUACUUGGUUCAGUGAUACUUUUUCAAUUAUGCUAAACUUGCAUACUUCUGUCAAUAGUUUAGAAAUAUAGUUAUGUUCGUUGAUUUCCUAAAGAAUUAUCCUAUAUAAGUAGUGGGUUUUUUCAGGGGCUACGCAAGUAUAGUUUGUGGAGGAUGGUAUAGUGAUCUGUUUAAUUGCGGUUCAGGAUUCUCUUAAUUUCCAAAGAUAGGCACAUCUCGCAUUUUAAUACGACGUAGCACAGUUACACUUUACUAACUAUGAUAUUUUUUCUCCUUAAUUUUGUUGAUGUAUCAUAUAUUAAACCGAUUCAAACUGUAACUAUCUGUUGACGCAAGGCUAAAAAAAGUGUGUGGAAUUGAUUUGUAAUCAAAUUUUCUCAAGGUAGGGACUUUCUGGAAUGUUUGCUGUCUAGAAAUUCCUUCCCCAGACCCCACCUUGUGUGGGAGCUUUCAGCACUGGGUAUGCCCUUUUUUUAGCUAAAUUUCUUUUCAAGCCCACCCCAAAGCUGAAGAAAUUGCCUGUUACUUUGGGAGAUAGUGGUGUUAAAUGACCUAUAUCUUGCUUCAUAUACCUUCAUACUCUGAUACAGUGUUUGACCAAACCCGAAGAAUUUUUGGAACAAAUAAGGUUGUGCCACUUCAGCGCAAGAUUUGACAAGGCAUGUGGCCACACUAGGAGGUGAUGUACUGCUCGUCUCCUACUAGAGAUUGGGAGCCAAGUUGUUUGUGUGCUUUCUAUGGUCUAUAAGGUUUUCUGAAUACAUCAGAUUUUUUAUGUUCGUUUGUAGCUUGAACCUUGUAGAUGGUUUCUAGGCUGUAGGUAUAAUUUUUUCGUGCCAAUGGCUGUAACACAUGAAAGAUCCAACAAGAUUUUGAAGCGGCGUCUUUGAUCCAGCUGCUGCACACUAUUGGCUUCCAAGGCCUUGAAGGAGAUCAUGUAUGUUAGGCUACUGACAUGACAAAAAUUUCGGUAAAAAUUGGCAAAAGUUCACCUUUGGAACUGCUCUUUAAAGUUUUUCUAUUCUGCAUUAACACUCAUGUGGCUACUAUUUUGGGAAUUCCAAGAGGUUACUAUUUCAGAUUUGUAAUUAUUGGGCACAUAGUUUGAAGCUUGUAUUAGGGCAUGUCACCAUGGCUAAGCUACUAGCGAAUGAAGGAAACUUUGCCAUGAUUUAUGUCGACUCCCUGACUCCCUGUAACAUGCAUUUUAUAUUCUUGAUUUGGAAAGUUGACUAUAUGGUCUGCACUUAAAUAGUGGAUGAAAUUAUGAUCACAGCUUAAUUCUGUGUCCUAUGGCAAGAAAAAGGGUCAUAUUUUUCAUACCAGUGGUAAGUGGAGAACAACUAAUUUUGCUUUUUCUACGUCUGCUCAAAUAAUGUUUGGUCCCGAAUUUGUCGUAUAAGAAUAAGGUAUGUCACUGAAGAACAGAAAUGCAACCUUAGUAGCAAUACUAACUUACGGCUAAACUAUGACAGGUAGUGCAGGCUACAAUGACAGGCAUUUGCAGACAAGAUUGGUGCAAUUUCAACCCCGUAAACUUUUCUCAAAAACAAAACCCCGUAAACUGAUUGUUGCAUAGUUUUUAGUUAGCUUUGAGUACUCCGGACAAUAUUAUGUUCAGUGAGCAAGCAUGUACUGGUUGAAUUGUGUUCAUCUUCUAUUUUAUGUAAUGUGCAUAUUUUUAUUUUUCAUCUUAACAAUCCAGUAUGCUUUUGCUAGGUGCUUUGAACAGAAACAAUGGCAAUGAGUUCAAGUCAUAGCCAAUGAGUAGUGAAAGAGUAGGGAAAAUCACAAGAACCAUUAAUUUGAAUGUCCUAUUAGUCCAAAAUCCAGUUGUUUGAGAAAAAUACAGCUAAACAUGAGUGUUACCAAUCCUUUAAAAGGCAAAUGAAGAGCAUUGUAAGCACUAGCUUAUCAUGUCAAAGGGUUGGGCCAAGAUUAUGCAUAUAUUACAAAAAAAGUAAAAUCAGUUGAGGGAGGGUAAAAGCCGGAUAAAUGCAACUAGAGUGAUAUCAUUGUGUUGUUCCGUGGCAACGCACGGGCAUUCGGCUAGUUCUUCUAGAUCCUAAAUAAACAAUAGUUGUUUCCUUGCUAGGAACAAACUUAUAAGAGAAAGCACAGCCAAAGCAUGAACCUAGCAAUUAAGUAAAGAUGUAAGAUAGCCAGAUAAGACGCAAUUCUUUAUCACUUUACUGAUGAGGCUUCGUGCACACUUGAGAGAGAACCUGGGGACGGCUUGGGUGGCAGCUAUGCGACAGAGGCCAUAGAACCUGUGUUUGCUGCUGCUACCGUGCAUCUUAGAUUUAGGAGGGCAAUGGUGAGCUCGCUGGAGAGUUGACAGAGAAGGCCUCGACUUUGUCGGGGAUUGCUCCCAUCAGAAACCCUCCUUUUGUCGCCGUGCGCGACGAAGAGAAGAUGAGCGGGGAGUGCAGGCAGGGGCCGCCGGCCCGCCGCCGGCGUGGCGACGAGAGUCCAGCGGCAAAGAUAGGGCAGCGCGGGUGUGGGAUAUGGAGAAGGAUGUCGGGCCAUGGUCCUCGUCCAUCGCCGGGCAGGAAGGGGGCGGGGGAUGGAGGCGGGCCGCCACACGGUCGCCGGUCGAAGAGGCCGCCGCCCGCCGUGAAGCCUCUUGCCGCUCACGUUGGUGCUGCCUCCGGCAAACCGGGCAACACCAGUGCCACACGUAUCUGUGUCCGGUAAGGCAGCUGCCGGCAGCUCGCUGUCGAAACCUCCCACCGCUCGCCUCCGAAAAACUGCUCGCCGCUUGGAUCCAAGAAUGCCGGGGUUAUCCGUUCUUUUUUUUACCCUUUUUUUCGUUUGAUGGACCGAAAGGGUGGGUUAACCGUCGCCUUGAAAAAAAACUUGACAGGACAGCGGUGUGGCGUUUGUGAUGGAGUCAGGGUUUCGGUUAGGUGGGUCGCUCGACCCGGGUGAUGAAUAAGUAAUUCUUCACCCUGGGUUACCAAUAACUAUAUAUCUUCCCUAUCUUUCCCUACUAAUAAACCACGCAUUGCUUCUGGUCGUCCGUCGUGGCAAUUUUACAAAAAAGUCCCUCCUAUUUUGGAUAUUCAACCCGCAGUACAAUCUGAAGUGCUAUUGUGAGAAAACGUUUCGUUCUUACAAAAAGGACACUGUGUUUUUAUAUUCAACAAAGUGGUUAUUGGCGAGCGAAGCGAGCUGGAGGUCGAGACUGGCCGCGAUGCAGACGACGCCGGGCACGGCGACGGCGAUCUCCGGCCAGAUCCGGCCGAGGAGGCGCGGCGGCGGCCGGAUCCUGUUGCAAGUACGGCGUGGAGGCGAUCUAGGAGGCGCGGGAGGAGGUCCAGCGGCGGGGCUUGAACUCCAAGUUCAUGGCGGUGGCGUUCCUCGCCGGUUUCGAUCGAGAUGGCGAGCUCCGACAGGGUCUCUCCAAGGCGACGGCGGUGCUGCACCUGUGAGAGAGAUAGAGGUAAGGGGGACAGAAAGGAAGGAGGAGAGGGAGGGAGAAACACACCUGCAUUAGUUAGAAUUCAACCCACAAUCCUUUAUUUGUGUAUCUUAUCUAGACGCACGCGCCCAUUCGGUCAUGCGCCGCCGGCAGCCUUCUUCGGCCUCCGCCAGUCCUAGCCCUGUCGUCCGUCCGGGACGGCGGCGGAGAUGGCUACGGCCGCUACUGAGGGUGAGAAGGCGGUCGCCGUUCCUCGGACGGGAGGAUGGAGGAAGCCUCGCCGGGAGGAUAUUGGCCCGAUCUGGAGCGCUAGGUGGGCGGCCAGAUCGAACGACAACAGAGGAGCUCCAAGGCGCCAUCGUUGCGCGUUCUCCAAGCCACCACGGCCGCGCACUACAGGAGUGGCGGGGCGACGCCAAGCCGUUCUUGGGCACUCUGGAUAGAGAAGGGAGAGCAGCGCGUCAGGUAGAAUGGAGAAGAGGAGGAAAUGUGCGGUGGGUGUUGCUAGAUGUUGUGUGGAUAAGGGACACGUGGUGGGUAAUGGGUGUUGUGCUAGAUGUUGUGCUGGACCGACCGAAGCUGCUGGAUCAAUGCACCGAUUACAAUUUGGGAAACGUUUCAGAACGGCGCGCCGGCCGAACGAUUCGGCCGGUCGCGUUGCGUGCGCUCGAUCAACCUACACAGAUCGUGCGUCUAUCGCACGCCUCCUGUGUUUUCUUCUUCUUUGUCUUAUCUUCUUCCUUCCAUCUCAACUGAUCACCUUCUAUCCUCUUUCCCCGGCGAGCACCAACAGCCUCCUGUGCAGCCGUGAACUCCCCUCGCGGCCGCUGCAAACCAGCACAGAAACCCAAUCCCAUGCCGUUUUCGCUGCAACCUCGUCGCCAUGGCAGCGCCCUCGCGCCCCGCGCCUGUCGCCGUGGCCGCGCGUGAUGGGGGCCAGAAUCGGAUGCUGCAACCUGCAAGCCAAGCGGUGCGACGAGCGAUGGCCGGAGCUGCGACCGGCACCACGCAAGUGGAAAAGAAUUGCAACUAUUGAUAGAAAUGUUUCAACAGUAGAUAUUAAAGUUUCAACCAUAGUUGCUUUUUGCUACUACCGGCGAAAUUUUUGCUACAUCCAUCAAGGCGGAGCCGAACCUCGCGACGGCAGCGACGACGAUUUGCUGCAGCCGUAAUCGGUUUUUGCUACUACCGGUGAAGUUUUUUGCUGCAUCCAACAAGGCGGAGCUGUGACCUCGCGACGGAGACGAUGAUGAUUUGUUGCAACCAUAGUCGUGUUUUGCUACAACCGGCGAAGUUUUUUGCUACAUCCAUUCAAAGGCGUUGAUUGACUGGUGGGCGUCGCCGACGCAAUUCCGUUCAGCGAGCAUCAACGGCGAGGGGCGGUGGCGGAGCUACAACCAGAGCUACAACCGUCGCCGCUGAGAGCUGCAACCACAGGUGGAGCUGUUGCAUGGGUCGAGGUAACGACGAGGACGACCAGCGAGGGUAGGGACCGGCGACGAGGGCGGCCGGCGAGGAUGGGGACCGACGACAAGGAUGGUCGGCGAGGGUGGGGACCGGCGACGAGGACGACCACCGGAGGGGCAGCGCGGGACGGCUAGAUGCAAGGAGCUGCAGGAGGGUAAGAUGCGUGAGGAGGAAGAAAAUCCGGGGCGAAUCAUUUUUUUUCUUUUUUUGCUAGAUCAAACGGCCAGGAGUAUUGGCAUCCUGCGGCCAGGGCGCGACUGGCCCAAACUUUGGGCCGGCGCGGCGGCGCAGAUCACUCGCCUUACAAUUUUUAUGCGGGAUGAGCACUUGCUUGCUUCUGUUUGGUUGUUAAUUUAUUAUAUAUAUUUAUGCCUACUACGUCUUACGAAUACAUUAUCUGAUACACUCCCUCUGUUUCUAAAUAUAACUUUUCUUAAAGAUUCUAAUGUGAACUAAAUAUGGAGCAAAACAAGUGAAUCUACACACUAAAAUACAUGUAUAUUCAUCUGUACGUAGUCCAUAUUCAAAUCUCUAAAAGACUUAUAUUUAGAAACAAAGGGAAUAAUAAUUAAAAGUGAGUGACAUAUUGAAAAAUAAAUUCUUAAAGGAGAUGAUAUUUAGGUCUCACGGUUACUUGCUGAACAUCAAGAUAUUCCUCAACUCUAGAUGGCAUCGAUGUCUUGGUGAGAUUGGGAGGAGACAGCGAGGGAUGAAGAGUAGAGAGAGUACGAGAACAGCGUCUUGCUCGCGUCUUGUUUCGCCCCGCAUGGCAGCUAGGAGGGGGGGGGGGGACACUCCCUUCUGUUGUACCAUCUAUCUCGCAAUUUUGUCUACCCUAAUCCUUAUCCCAUCGAGGACCGUUGAUAAUGUCCAUGGAAGUGGUCAUGUUGGCAUGGAGGGUGUGCUCGUACUACUAGCCGCAACGUGUCAAUAAAAGAGCGCGAACCACUGUAAACUCUUUACUUUCUGGCCACCAUAAUUUUGAAGUAGGAAUGCAUAAAUAUUAAUGUUAAUAGGGAUUGGAAGAUAUAGGAAUUGAUAUAUUACUUAUUUGAAGGUGCUAUAGGUAUACGAAUGAUGCACAAUUACGUACGCAUCGAAGGAUCGAUAAAUGUAUAGAUUUAUGUAAUUACUUUAACGCGGGGUUGUUGAAUAUCAACAACUUGUUACACGUAAUCCAAUUUUUUUAGAGCGAGUCAAAUGCGUGGGUUUUAUUAGCAGAACAGAAAAAGAUUACAAGCUUUUGAAAUACAACUGAAUCUUCACAAAGUGGAUUCUUAUGAGUCUUGCAAUUGAAAAUCAUAUUAUUCAGAUUGACAGAUAGUGGUGGACGCAAGAAUAAAAUGAAGGGUGUGCACGCUCUAAAUUUUUUUGCUACCUAAUCCAAGUGUCAUACAAAAUAUGCGAAAGAAUAAAAUUAAUAGCCCAAAAAUAUCACAACAAUUUAGUUUAUAAUUUUUGGAAAAACAUCAUACGGGAAGCCAUGACAAUGAAAAAACACUAAUAGCGCCCGCCUGGGUCGGCGCAGCUUGCGGCUGCGCUCUAUGUCUCUCGCUCGCUUGCUCAGGACUCGGCAGAAGGUGGCUGGGCCUCUGCCAAUUCGAUUCAGGCCAAGAGAAUUAUAUGGUAAAAAGGAAAUUCGCAAAUUUGUAGAUGUGCCACGGUACACCCGGUAUACCCCGUGGGUACGUAAAUGUUAACAGAUAAACUCUCGAAUACCACACGGACUCUUAGAUUUAUUUUAUACCCAUGGCAACGCACGGGCUUUUUACUAUAAUAAUAAUAAAGCGAUUACUGCUUCUGGUCGUACGUCAUCGACAUUUUUGCGAAAAAGUCCUUUUAUUUCUUUGAAAUCAACCCGCACUCCCUAUUUAAGUGGCACUCUGGAAAAACGUUUCGUUUUUACGUAAAAACCACUGCAUUUGUUGGAAAUCAUGCACGCGACCCUUAUCUCUUAUUGGACUGGCUCACCACCGCGCGUACGCUUAUCCUGCCGUUCUUCACCGCCGGGCACGCGCCGCCGCUUGCCGCCAGCGUCGACCCAUGUUAAAGGCUGGUCGCAGCGGAGGCCUCGGUAGGAAGAUUCGAGGCGGUCUCGGGCGCGACGGGGAGCUGCCGGAGCGCACGGACGACGGGGGCUCGUGCAGGAGGCGAAGACCGACGGGGAAGUUCAGAGGGGCGGCUGGUGUGGCCAAGCUAAGGAGGCGGCGGUCUGAGCCGGCUUGAGCCCACGGACGACAGCUCUGCUUGCUGACAUCGGCCGGAGGCGGACGGGGCUGGCUCGCGAGAUCCACACGGGCACGAGAGGAGACUGGAGGAGAGGGCCAGGCAUGGCUUGGCGGGCGCGAGAUGAGGCUGGAGGAGAGGCCGAGGCGUGGCUUGGCGCCUACCAGAGCCACGAGGCCGCCGCCGCCGGCGUCGGACGUCCAAGUCAGUCGCGGCAAACGGCCGUUGCAGGUGUAAGGACCAAAGCAAGGCAACGACACAAGGCCGGGCAUCGGAGCAGAGCAAAGGAAAUAAGAGACACACACAGAGGAGGGGAGAGCGACGAGGGAUCUAGCGGCGGCACUCGCUCCGGUGGAACGUGGAGCGCCAGCAACUUUGGUGGAGGCUUCACAUCUGCGCCUGUGUGACACUAUUGGCAGAUCCGGCGGCGAUGCUCGCGCUCGCUCCGGUGGAACGGGGGAAGCCAACAACUUUGGGUGUGGAGGCUUCACAUCUGGGCCCGCCUCACACGAUUGACACAUGCCGGCAACCUGGGAACGAACCUCGCCUGGGCAGCCAGCUCACAGCGCGGCUAAUCCCGCUGGCUGCUUGGUCUAAGAAUAUCGGUGGAAGCACCGGAAUGAGAAAGAGAGAUGGAGCGAGAGAAAGAAGAUGGAUGCAGAUGCUUCUCGGUGGACACAGACGAAUGGAUAAGGAUAAGCUAGCUAGCGGUGGAGGUACACGUUGAUGGUCUGAUGGGUGUUACGUGCCGGUCAGUAGGCCCCAAGCCCCCAACAUUGUUUUGUCAGCCGGUUAUAGUAUUUCUUUUUCUAAUUUUUGUGAGGGGAUUAUAGUAUUUCUUGCGCUUGGGCCAACAUUUAAUCUUCCAAAUCAAACAAACCUUCCAUUAAAAAACUACAUGAUCAAAAUCAUUAGCAUUCAAAUCUUUUGAUAAUUUGAUAAAAUAUUUUAAAUGAAUUAUUAAACUCUCGAAGAGUAUGUAAGGGCAUCUUCAACACCGAGCCUCGAAACGACCACAACCGUCCGGACCUCAUGGUCCAGACGUGUUUUGCCAUUCAAUGCGGGUCUAUAUCGGUCUGUCGACCGGCCCGGACUUACUUUCUCCCGCAAUCCGAAAACAAAUUGGGGGCUUUGCGGGCAUCCGAACCGCUGUCACGCUUGAUUCUAUCUGCCAUGGCCCAUCCAAAAAAUCCUCCUUUGCCCAUGUCCCUCCCACCCGAAGUGGCCAGCGCCGCUCCAAAGCAUCGAUCUUGCAUUCAUGCCGGCUCAGAGCGACGCGACCUCUCAAUGGCCCUUUGGCAUUGAAGCGGCGCCGGAAGAGAAUGCAGCCCACGCUGUUUCCCGGUGCACACUGCAACUCCACGUUCAAAUGAGAACUCAUCAUUCCGCCUCCCUACAUUAAACAUGCGUAGUUGCCGAAGAACCUACUCCGGCGCCACAGGUUCGUUCAUCUACUACCAGCCAUUAACCACCUCGUCGCUUGCCCUGUCAUGCACCGACUAUUUAAACUCCAACCCCAGUCAUAGACGCAUCAAUCCUCCUCCUCACCGCACCACGACCAUCAUGGCCUCCUUGAGCUCCAAAGCCAUCUGGGACAACCUCUCGUCCGACCAAAAGACUGAGAUGCCGCCAUUGCUGCCGGUUUGCAGGCCGCCAGGCAGACGGCGGUCGGCGCUGCGGACAUCCCAAUGGAAGAUGUGACCGAUGACGGGCGACGCCACCCUCCUUGCCGGUCCAUGCCGACAUGCCCGUGCAGGAGGCCUUGUUCCGACGGGCUCAAGCCGACCAGGAGUACAACCUCCACCUCCUCAAUGAGCUCUGGUGCGCGAUGGAGCAACUUGCCACCGGCACGGAGCGCCAGACAUGGACCAGGCGGAGGAGAAGGCGCUGGUCGACUCCUAUCGCACGGCCUACAAAUUCCGCCGCGGCUGUUGGCGGUACCGCCAGCAUCAGUCGGAGAUAAAAGCGGUCUUCAAGGAGAUCGGUGAGGCGGACGACGAAGUCUAUGGAAAGAGCGAGGACGAGGAAGACGUUGCUAGCCCCGCCACGCCCGCGCCUCGCCGCCACGACCACGAAGCCGGCACGUCCAAGGGCGCUGGCGACGGCGAGGAAAAGUAUAUCAUGGGAGUUCACCGGUGCUCGGACACCAGGAAGGCCACUGCCCUUUAGCUCCAGCUGAAGCCAAGCUUGACGGGCUCAAAAUCGUCGGCCAGUUAGCCGCUUGUGGGCUGUGGAGGCGGAGGUGGAGUUUUCAGUUCCCAGGGCUCAUGGUCGGCCGGAAAUGGGUGAACGGGUGUUGGCGGACAUUUAGACUAGGUUUAGAGUACGAUUUAGUUCAAAUAUGUCGAAAUGUAAUUAGUUUGCUCCGGUCUAUAUGAAAAGCAUCUGGUUUUGUCUAAAAAUUAUUCAAGUACGAAUGAAUAUCAUCCGGUUUGUUUUAAUAUCCAUCAAAUUUGUUGACUUUCGUUAAAUUUCUUCCGAAAUGCAACCGGACAUAUGCGGAUAGCUUUGGAUGGUUGUCUUCCGCACCAGUGUCCGUGUGCUGCCCCCCGCCCCCUCCCCGGCCACAUGCGGACGGAUGUGGUGUCCUUUUUGCAGGUCAACGUUGGAGAUGCCCUAAAAAUCACAUGUAUGUUUCUCCCGCUAAAAGACUAUCCCAUGCAUCUGUAAGACUCAGAUUGUAUGUUUCUUCUAAAAAAAAACUAUUCCAUGCAUCACUACUCUUUCCUUUGUUAGAAGUGCAGAGCUUAAGCAUGCGUCAAUGAAAGACGUUAGGGUGACUUCUCACAUGAACACUUUAUAAUCCAAAUAAGUGAAGCGUAGUGACAUGUGAAGUAGGGUUUUUUCAAUUUUUCCACCCGUUGCAACGCACGGGCAUUCGUACUAGUAUGUGUAUAUAUAUAUAUAUAUAUAUAUAUAUAUAUAUAUAUAUAUAUAUAUAUAUAUAUAUAUAUAGGCAAAAAUGUGUCUAUCAUAGCUUGCUAGGGACAUAGCUAUCAUGACCACACAAUGCAUGCGCCGUGAUCCGUGCUGAACUUGUGAGGGUAUAUAAGUACGACGAAACUAUUAGAGUACCUGUGCUGGUGAUGAGCGUGAUGGCCGUGCAUUGACCUGCAUCGCCUGUCCAAACUGUGCCGGCCAUGUGUCCGACGACCUCGUCCAUCCCUGAUCACCUCUUCCGUGCAAUCAGACGCACAUACACAGACAUGCAUGUGCUGUAUUAUACUUGAACUUAAGAGCUUCUGAACUCUCUGAAUCUGUGUGCAUGUUUUUAUAUUGUGUCAUUGCAUAGCUCCACCAUUGAAUUUUGAAAUUCAGUCAAUGCUUAAACUUGAUAAAAAAGAGCAAGAAACAGUGACAGAUUAUGUGUGUUUUUCACGGAAGUGAGCUGGGAAUUUAGAUGUUCCUUUUCAUAAUAUUAAGGGCAUCGAUCAUUCAACUUUUUAUGUUAUCUUUCGUGCUCUGACAUGAGUGAAGUUAUGUGAACUAGCAUAGUAUAUUGUAAUUUUCUGAUUUUGAGUCAUGGCAUAUAGUCCUCACACAAAGUAGUUGCAAAUAUAUUGAAGUAUAUUAUGCACAUAGUUAUCCUCCCUAAUGCCUAAACUGGUACCUUUUCAAUCUUUGUGCUGACUACUAAACAUAAUUAUUGUAGGUCUUCCCUGGCCCAUGGUCAUGCGAAAGUGGUGUUGCUCCGGCAAGCUCCUCUAUCCCCCGAGCACAGUGCUGUCUAUGAUGGUCUCCUCCCUCCUGUUCCCUCAGCAAGGAUGAUGUCAUUUUUUUGCGAAACAGAAAGUUAUGUAGUUCUUCAGUAUAUGUCCAUAGAAACCUAUGACAAUUUCUUCAGUAGCAGUUCAACAAAAAAUCAUGCUGUAGUUCUUGAGUAUUGUUCCAUUAGAAUUUCAUGUUAUCUAAGUAUUUUUAGUACUUGCUAUUGCAGAUAAGUGUUUGUUAGAAUUGUCAUUCUGUCAGUAAAGUACCAUUCUUCAGUAUAUGUUUUGGAAAUUUCAUCUUUUGUGUGCCUAGUGUGAAUCGUUGGUCUUCUCUCACUUUUGCUCCUGAAUUGGAGGUAGCAUGUUGAUUUUCGCACUUGAUGAAGAACAUAUCCUAAAAUGUGAAAAAAAAUGUUCCCCAAUGAAUGAUUUAUUGUUCGUAAAGAUCUAUUUUAUUCCAGAGUGAUGAAGUUUUGCUCCUAAACAAAGAACUUUAUGUUGUUCCUAAAUGAGGAGGUAGUAUAGGGAACUACAUGUACGUGUUUUUCCGAAAACUUUCUUAAACCAUUUUUGAUGAAGUAUAGGGAACUUCAUGUACGUGUUACUCCCAAAACGAUAUGAAACUUUGUGUGUACAAUUUUUUAAUAUACCAUAUUGAUUGAUAACUAAAAAGGGCAUGCUUUUUUAAUAAUCAAGAAGUUCAACGACUUCCACCUAGAAAGUUCAAAAGACAUUAUUUUUGAGGGAGAACACAUCCUGCCUAGAAGUUGCAUAUGGAAUAAAAUGUAAAUUCGCAAUGAAGUUCAUAUAUAAAAAAAGUUGAAGUUUGCAUAGAGAAAAAGGUGCAUUUCUGAAAAAAGGUACAUGUUUUCUAAUUCCAGAUGCUUAUAUGGUCGUCCUGUGACACUGGAAUCUUUUUCAUUUUAGGUGAGCCCAAUUUUUGUGUGGAUGUGUUGUGCCUGUGCUUGUGGGUAGUACACUGAAUAGAACAAAAAAGAAUAUUAUGGGUGCCCUCUAAAUGUUUGUCCUACUGCUUAGUAGAAUUGACCCAAAAUUUCCUAUUGUUUUUGCACAUGUUGGAUUCAAGGGAAAACGUGUAUAAAAAGGUAGUAUUUCGAAAUUUCGGGUGUAACGAACAUCGAAGUUCAAACCAAUAAAAUGUAAACAAAAAAUCAUGGAUUCAAAGAAUAAAAACUAUGGAGUUCAUGAAAAAAAAUAGCACCCGAAGUUCAUGUUUCAGAAAUUCCAAAGUUCACGUGUACCACCUACAGAAGGAAAAUCAUCAAAUGAAAAAAGGGACCGCCUAGGCCAUUUCACCGGAAAGCAAAAAAUGCAUAAAAAUGUCACGACAAAAUUCUAUAAGAAGUUCAAAUUUAAAAACCGAAGCAGGUCAAUGUUAACAAAUGAAGUUGUUAUUAUCUAAAAGACAAAUUUGGAAGUCCAAAAAAAUUUGAGCAAGAAGUUAAAAAAAAGUAGUUCAAAAAUCUUUAUAACGGAUUUUCCCCAUUUGUAAAAAAAUAGAGAAGUUCAAAUUAAAAAGAUGAGCAUUUCAAAAGAUUGUAUGAAAAAUGAUUUUCCCCAUUUUAUAAAAACUAGAAGUUCAAAUUAAAAUAACGACACGGUAUCAUUGUUUAUAUAAAAAAAGCAUAUUCCCCGUUACUAACCAAAAAAACUAAGAAGUUUAGAUUUAAAAAAUGGUGAAGUUCGAUGUCUAUAAAAAAAUCGCAUUUUUCACAUUAUUAAAAAAUAAAACCAAGAAGUUCAAAGUUUUAAAACAAAGAAGUUCAAAAAACUCGAUUUUCCUCAUUACUAAAGAAUAAAACUAAGAAGUUCAAAUUAAAAUAACAGAGAAGUUCAAAGUAUAUAAAAAACUCAAUUUUACCAUUAUUAAAGAAUAAAUGAAGAAGUUCACAUUUAAAAUAGGAACACCAAAAAAAGAUCAAGUGCUCUGUACGGAGAAGUUCAAAAAUUCUUGCGAGAGAGGUUCACAUUGUAUUUCCAUGUUCAAUUUUUUUCGUAUAAAAAUCGAAUACAAUUCUCUACUCAUAGUAUAAAAAGGUGAAGUUCAAAUUGAAAUAACAAAGAAGUUCAGAGUUUAUUAAAACCUAGGAUUUACAUGUUCAAUCGGUAUAUCAUUUGCUCAAUUCUGGUAAGUGGUUGGGGAGUUAUAGGUAAAAAACUACAUGUGAAAAACAGAGUGAAGUUCAAAAAGAACUACUCCAGAAGUUCAACCUCUUCACGAAGUGCAUUUUCGGAGACUCUGUUUUUUCGAUGAAGGCUGAACGCAUGAUCUCAGAAGUUCAGAUUGAUAACUGUCAGAAGUUCACGUACUACACGGUGUGCAUUUUGGAUUAAAAAGAGAAUGAAAAUGCAAAGCCUAAAGUUUUGUUGGUAGAAGUUCAUGUGCUCGGCCCGAAAGAGUUCAAAAAUUCUUGUGAGAGAGGUUGAACAAAAAUAACUGACGGAAGUUUAAGGUGAAAACAACGAGAAGUUCAACUACUGUAAGGAAUGCAUUUCGGGUGAUAAUAAAAGUAUAUAUAAAUAAAAGCUUAAAAUGUUUGUUGAAAGAACUUCAAGUGCUCUAUCUGGGGAAGUUCAAACAUUCUCUCAUUCCAUUACAAAUUUGGAACAAAAAUGCUCUACAUGAAAAAGUUAUUUUCUAUUCAACAACUUUCCAAAAGGGGUAUAUUGUAUGCUCUAUUUGAAGAAUAAAACCAAGAAGUCCAAACUAAAAUAACGGAGUAGUUCACUGUAUAUAAAAAACUCAGAUUUUUCUUCAUUACUAAAAGAGUAAACCCAAGAAUUUCAAUUUAUAAUAGUAUAGUGGGUUGAUGUUUUUUUACAAAAAUUGGAUUUCUCCCGUUACUAAAGAAUAAACCAAGAAGUCCAAUUUAUAAUUAUAGAGUAGUUCAAAAUUCAAAUAACUCAGUUUUCUAUACAUAAACUUUCUCGUGUCGCCACCUUGCACCUCAAGGCGCAGAAUAUGGUAAGGAUCCACUAAAAAGAAGUCAUAUUUAACUGUAGAGAAUUGGAAAACUCCAUUUGGGCAAUAGACUCGAAAUGGGCAUUAAAACUACUCUUAAAAUACGAUUCACUUUUUUUGUAUGAAUAAAAAUAGUUUUAAAACUGCUCUUAAAUCGUGUACAUUUUGCCAAAAUUUAACUUGGGUCAUGAUACUCGUGUCCAUAGCUUUCCAACGGUAUAUUGCAAGCCCCAUUUGGGCAAUGUUUGCGGAAGUUCAACCUAGCACUUGGAGAAGUUCAAGUGCUACUGCUGCGGCAGGUUAUGUAGUUAUCAGAAUAUUAUUCUCAUCACCUGUUCAUCACGACCUGAGAGCAAAUCCCCCAAUGAGGGAGAUUCCUAUUUAAAAUGGGCAUUUAGUUGCUAAAAAUCAUUUCCGGAUUACACUUACAUCACAUAGAACACGGCUGACCAGAAUAAUUCGCGCGGGGAGAAACGGUUGCAAAGAUAACCCGAAGGUCGGGUUCCUACAGAGGGAAGUUCAGGUUGUGUAACUCAAGAAGCUCGAGAUUUUUCCCGUUACUAAAUGAAAUAAAACCACAAAGUCAAAAUUAAAAAGAUGGAGAUGUUCGAUGAUUAUAGAAAACUCAGAUUUUCCUCGUUAUUAAAGAAUGGAAACCAGAAGUCAAAAAAUCAAAUAACAAGAAGUUCAACUUUUAAAAUAGAGCGCUUCAAAAUUUUAGAAAAAAGAUUAAGAAAAAAACUGGAAGUCCAUAUUAAAAAGACGAAGAAGUUCGAUGAUUCUAAAAAACUCAGAUUUUCCUCGUUAUUAAAGAAUGUAAACAAGAAGUUCAACUUUUAAAAAUAGAGCGUUUCAAAAUUUGAUAAAAAAGAUUAAGAAAAAAAAUCAGGAAGUCCGUAUUAAAAAGAUGGAGAAGUUCGAUGAUUAUAGAAAACUCAGAUUUCCCUUGUUAUUAAAGAAUAGAAACAAGAAGUUCAAAAAUAAAAUAACAAAAAGUUCAACUUCUAAAAAUAGAACGCUUCAGAAUUCAUAAAAAAAGAUUAAAAAAUUUAGAUUAAUAUUCAUAAAAAACUCAUAUAUUUUCACGUAACCGAGAGAAGUUCAGAUGCUAACUGCCAGAAGUUCACGUACUACACGAUGUGCAUUUUAUAUUGAAAAAGAAUAAAAAACUAAGACUAAAAGUUUAGUUGUUAGAAGUUCAAGUCCUCGGUUGGAGAAAAUUAAAAAAUUAUUGUGAGAGAGGUUUGUACAAAAGGAAUAUCAUUUGUGUAAAACUGACGAAUGGAUGAGAAAAUUACAAACAAAAAUACGUCACCGAAGUUCAAUGUGAAAACAGCAAGAAGUUCAACUACUACGUUGAAUGAAUUUCAUAUGAAAACUUUUAAAAUCGUCGCGAGUAUGAAAAAUAAUCAACAUGGAAAAAUUGCAUGUUUAUAGCAGCUUUCCAUCGGUAUAUCACUUGCUCAAUUCCGGUGAGUGGACGGAGAGCUACGAGCAGUGGAUGGAAAGCUACGAGCAAAAAAACACGUGAAAAACAGAGUGAAGUUCAAGUAGACACGCCCAGAAGUUCAAAUUCUUUACGCGGUGCAUUUUCAAAGAAUUCGUUUCGCGAUGAAGGCAAAACGCAUGAUGUCGUUGUUUUCUAAAUUACUUAAAAACGGCUUGGAAUCAGAGAAAAUCAUCAACAUGAAAAACUUUCGCAUUUUUCGUAGCUUUUCAGCGGUAUAUUAUUUGCCCCAUUCCGAUAAAGUUUGUAGAAAUUAAGGCAAAAAUACGUUUUUAGCCAUUUUUAAAUUUGACUUAAAACAAUAAGGAAUUGAGAGAAACAAUAUAUAUGAAAAAGUUUCGCAUUUCCUCAAGCUUUCCAACGCAAUAUCACUUGUUGCAUUUGGACGUAUGGUAUAUUGCAAGCCCCAUUUGGACACCUUUUAGCUGAAGUUCAACCUAGUACUCGGGAAAGGUCAGGCGCGUUACUCGGAAAGUUCAUGCUGUGAUCAGAAUAUUAUUCUGAUCCCGUGAUCAAAAUAGUGUUUAUAUAUAUAUAUAUAUAUAUAUAUAUAUAUAUAUAUAUAUAUAUAUAUAUAUAUAUAUAUAUAUAUGACAGGUAUAUAGAUCAACGAUGGCGAGGAAGUGAUAUGCCGUGUAUGUAGAGCAUGUUUCGGGUGUGUAUGAUGAGUGGCCAUAGUAUCAGGCCCAGGUCUCUGGCUUCUCCGGCGGAAGUCAAAAAGGGUUUGAUAGUAGAGCGGAAGCCGAAGCUAGUUACUUGACAUUCAUAGCACAACAGGGGAUUCAGAACCAGCGCCGCUGCAAAAACUACUACAUAAUAUCGCUUUUGAUCAUCGUGAUUUCUCUUAUCUUCUAUGUGGUCAUAUCAUAGUCUACAUAGAUGAUGAAACUUGAGUAAUGUGACCAUGUAGUUGCAUGUAUUGAGAACUUGUAAUGACUAGUAUCGGUAUUUCGAGACAUGUGUUCGACCAUGAUUGAUGAUGAUGAGAUACUUGAGACAUGUCGAGACUUCUAAUAACUUUGGUUCAUCGAUGACUCACUUGUUUUUCAAUGAAUAUGCAUGUUAUUGUAUAAACGGUGAAUUUGUUUCAUUGUGUGCAUAGCCAAAAUGCAAAAAAAAUUGCAAAAGUUACCAGUGGCGUGGGGGUAAAGAUUACCAGUAGCACUCAAGCAACAGUACAGCUGGCUAAUAACACGCGUUGUAGAUAAUUAUCAGUAGCGCUGGGAGGAAGCGUGCUACAGCUAGCUUUAGAUACCAGUAGCGCUGGACAAAACAAGCGCUACUGCUAAAAAGUAGUUGUAGCGUCGUAGCAGUAGCGCGCCUGCCCGCGCUACUAAUAGCAAAAAAAAACAGCGCUACUGCUAAGGGUUUUCCUAGUAGCGGGGGGUCGGUUAGAGUUGGCCCAACGUUACUAGAAAUUGUCUUAGCAGUAACUUAUUAUAUUGUCCAUUUGCAAAUAAGAAGACCUAAUAAUGUCAAUAAUUAUCCAUCUGCCCAUUUGUAUAUCGAAUCUUUUAAGCUAUAAAUUUUGCGGACAUGCAAACAUGAGUUACUAUGUACGUGCCUCUUCGUACUAUCGUGGGGCCUUGGGUCUGAACGAGGUACGGACAUCUCUUUCGGCAACUUCAAGCACGUGGCAGCUAAUUAAACACGUGCACGGGCGGAAUUGGGCCUGGAGCAACUGGGGCUAUAGCCCCAGGCGUGGCCCAACUAGUGGUUAUAUUUCCAGUUGAUUUUUUUCUAUUUUUGUACGCAUAAACGGCCCAGCCCCAGCCAUGUAGACGCAGCCCAGGCAUCAACCCAUAUAAUAGCGCAAUAUACACGUAGCUUUCCAUUGCUACCAGUUCGCAAUUAUCCCACGAUGUCAUGAUCGCUAGCCCAACCACACCGUUUCAUCUUCUCGCUCGUCUGAUCAGGAAAUAGAUCUCGCUCAAGCGAUCACACUGCGCCGCCAAUUCCCCUAGAGGCGAUUGCUCGACUAGACAGACGAAAGUCCAGACCUACGCCCAAUCGGCUGGCGCUCAGAGCCUUGGAUCGGAUCAUCUCUCGCAUCAUCGGAGCUGCCCCCUCUAGCGCUCUGUUCUGCUCCAUCUACACAAUGGACAGGAUAUCUGACAGAUUAGGUUUGUAAUCUCCUGUGCCCUCUACUCUUUUUCCCCUAGUUCGUUUUUGAUCAACCGAAAUCAUGGAAUUGGUAAUGCUAAAUUUUAUUUCUUUGUUAUUUGUUAACAGGGAAAAAAUACCAAUCCAAGAUGAAGAAGACCCGGACAAUUAAAUCUGUUUUUUAAGCAACAUUCAAACAGCCUGCAUCAAACACAUCAAUGAAUGACCAACCGAACGAGUAGGACUCAGAGAAAAAAUGCAAGGAAAUGCAAUGGUUUACUACCUCGUGCACUUUGCGAUAAAUUUAUUUUUUUGUAAUUCCUUCAUUGAACAAUUUACCUAGUACAUGUCCAUUAUCUUGAUUUUAAUUACUCUAUUUUAUGCUUACAGUUCCCGAUCCUUCUAAUAUGGAAAAAGCUUACCUUCAGCCGGCCGAUCACGCGAGCGCGUCCGCCGGCUCCGUGCCCAUCAGAUCCUCUGUUGAUUAGAUGGACAAGAGCACCCCUCGUGUUCAUGUGUUUCUGCAACUGAGUCUUUGUUUCAAAAAGAGAGUUUUGCAACUUGCUAGACUUUUUGUAGCGGCGGUGACUCGUGCGGCCGGGAGGGCGAUGGCGGCGAGGAAUCUCGCCGGAUCGGACGAGGAUGGCGCACGGGCAGGAGGCAGGGACGCCCGGGAGCCGCGGGGGCGGAGACUCGUGCGGCUAGGAGCGCGACAACGGCGAGGAUUCCAGUCGAAUCUCGCCGGAUUCGACGAGGAUGACCUGCGGGCAGGAGGUGGGGACGCCUGGGAGCGGCGGGAGCUCGUCUUGGCGAGGUCUGGCGGGGUUGACGGCGAGCUUCAUAGCAAGGACCCGCGACGACACCGGCGAACGGCGCUCCUGCUGCGAGAGAUACAGAGAGAUGAAGAAAACAGAAGAACAAGGAGGAUGGUGGCGAGGUGACUUUGGUAGGAGGUCCGGUGCUCGCCGGCGGCGGUACAAAGGUGGGGAUGGGCGGCGCCGAUCCUCCCUCACCACCAUCCCGCGAAGCUCGCGAUGAGUGACGGUUUCGGGGGAGAAUGUUUCUGAAUAAAGCCUUGUUGUAAUAGUCAGCGUGUUUCUGAAACAAAGCUCUUGUUGCAAAGAUGGACCAUAUGCAGAAAUCUUUAAAAUUCUGCAACAAGACCGUUGUUGCGAAAAAAUUAUGAAGCACGAUCUCCAUUGCAGAAAAUAAAAAAAAACAGACACGGGUGGUCUUUAAAAUUUCUGCAACAAGAUCUCUGCUGCGAAAAAUUUCUGCAAUAAGAUAUCUAUUGCAAAAAAGAAAAAUACAUGCUCGAGUAACUGCAACAAGCAGACUGUUGCAGAAACAUCACUCUUGUUGCAAAGGAUGGCUGCUUACGUUAGUUUAGUAGAUCGGACGGUCAUUAAUGUGUAAAUCCAAUGGUCAGCAAGGUGGUGGAUCUUUUUUGAAUUUCCGCCGGUGGACGCGUAGCGUCGCCCUUCUAAUAUUGCUGGUGAAGAAUGAUGUCCUCAAAUAAAGCAAGUCUUCACUAAUAUGGUAUGAGGGUUUCUUCUUACAGUAAAAAUGAGCUUAUAUUUCAUUUUUUGUUUACUAUUUCUUUUGUCGGAUUUCUUCUCUCAGUAAAAGUGAACUUAAAUUUCAUUUGUAAUGGUGCUGUACUUCUAACAUGCAUUUGUACGCGGUAUUUAACGUUAUUUGUAGUCACAAUUUUUUUAUUUAUAGUCACUUUAGUUUUAGCCUUAGGCUUUGUGAAAUCCUGAUUCCGCCUCUGCACGUGCAUGCAUGCUUGAAUAAAUUUCAAAAUACACUAGUGAAACCAAUUCGAAUCCAAGCUGUGUCCAAACGCAAAUAGACUAGCUGUAUCGAGUUGUCUGCUUUGCGUGCAGAUCGAGCGACAGCCGAAUAUAUAACUUUUUUUCUUGUGAAAAGAAGAAAAACCACAGAGCCGGAGUGUCUUCCUGGAGAGUGUGGAAUAACUUUUCUUCUUGUGAAAAGAAGAUACCAGGCCGGUGAGCCACCUUCCUUACUGCAAGUGUAAGUGUGCCGCGCGGUGAUGCUGGGCUACAACCACAACCCCACCACCCGUGUUCUCCGCAUGAACAUGACCAUGCUGUCCUUAAUCAUCUUCCCUAACCCUCUUAGUUAGUAGUAUUAGCUAGUAACUGCAUCUGGAUGCAUGCAUGUAUGUUGCAGCUGUAUGUGUUUGUCCAUGUGUAUGGACGUAGCCACUGUAAUCACCCUAUUUGUGAUCUCUGUUUGCCGCGUCCGCACGUGUCUUGCAGUUAAUAUCAACUACUCCCUCCGUUCGAAAUUACUUGUCGCGAAAAUAGAUGUAUCUAGAUAUAUUUUAGUUCUACAUACAUCCAUUUUUGAGACAAGUAAUUCCGAACAGAGGGAGUAGCACAUAUGCCGUUGCAGCUGGAAAGAAAGUAGUGUGUCCAUGAAAACAGCAUCAAACGGUGCCACCCCACGACGACAAGAAGCCGCACGGCAAAAUCUAGAUAAAAUGCAUAUCAGCAAGAACUGCUCAACUAGUGUUUGCUUUUCUCUUAAAAAAACAGAUUAUCAACACCGGUUGGUCUCAGGAAGAGUUAAUUGGCAAUGGUAGACCUACGCAAUAUUUGUUAUGCGUUGUACGUAAAUAGAGCAUUAUUUGCAAGGAAAAAAAUAGCAUGCUACAAGAUUUAGCACCGCCAUUCUCCAAAUUCUAUACAAGUUAUAGCGUGCUAUAUAUAAAAAUAGGGGCAUAAAAAUGUCAAAUAUAACACAAAAUUUAGCGUUCCAUAAUUUGCAAUGAAAGGAGACACUCCAAAUUAAACAAAGAAGCAUGCAAAAGCUAGGUUCAGGACAUGUACAUUCCUAUUUUGUAAGGAAAGAGAACACUCCUAAUUAAACAGAGAAACAUUGGUGGCUGACUUGCCGGCGCCGGUGGCGUGGUUGACUUUGGCGCUGUCUUGCUAGAGUUGAGUCAUGAAUGCCCCCAUCGUCGCUGCACUCCGUCACGAGCUGGUGGGAAAUUGGUGAUGAGUUGGCUAGGUAAGGUUGCAUGAGUUGUGUUUGCGUCUAAGAGAGGCUGAGUGUGAGUUGGGUCAAUGGGAUGCGGCGAUGCCUGAUGGACUGCUGUGUGGUACAUGAUAAAAUGCUACAACGUUAUUUUGUUUAGCGUCAAAAUAGGGUGCUAUUGCAUGAAUAGCGUCAUAGUGAGCAAAUUAGCUAAAACGUAACGUAGCCCUCCCAGAUAUACUAUAGCGAUGCUAUAAGGUCGAAAUAACAAGCUAGUUUUUUCAUUGAUUAUUAGUGGAUGAUGAGGGGGGAAGGGUCGGGGGCGGCGAGUAGAUUACAUAGGAGGCAGUUGGCGUCGGUCUUAGACCUUGUACAAUGGGAGGUGCUUAGAGAGGUGCUUACGAAAAUAAACCGAGUUUUUCUGAAGCACCGGUGCCUAUUUCUACAAAAGAGACGCUUAGUUAAGCGUCUACCCUCUAUAAAUAAGCACCGGUGCUUAAGAAAAACCUGGUUUAUUUCUCUAAGCACCUCCCCUAAGCAUCUCCCAUUGUACAAGGCCUUAGUAGCUGGUUAGGUAGAUGUAGGAUUAUCGUUUGGCGUUCCUAUUUUUCCCUUUAAACAUAAACUUGGCAGUCCUGCUCCCAUCUGUGCUCCGCCACCGUUGCCACAACAUCGUACAGCUGCACUGUUUUUCCUCUAGCGCGUUGGCAAAACAAAACAAAACAACAUGUAUUUUUCUCUUUGGUACCCGUAUCCUAUAACCGUAUGGUGCAUAUAUGGGACCACAUAUGGCCAAAUCGCGGAGUUCAUCGCAUGGCCCUUGCUGCAUGUAACUCGUCUUCUCCGGCACAGCAGCAGUGGUCGGUUAGGUGGCUCCACGCCGGCGGCGAGGACAACAGCAUGUGGCAGAGGCCGCCGGCGCAUACGCGAGCAUGUAUUCCAUGUAUGUUGUUGCAGAAACGGAACUGCCGCCGGCAGAGACGGAGUGGGAGAGAUGGAGAUGGACACGGGAGAUUUUUGCCGGGGGCUCAAACACCCCCAGCCGCCCGUACGGCGUCCUUUUUUCUCUUCCUAAGCACGAACACAAAAACUACCUGGCUCUCCCGUCGCGCCCGUACGCAGACGACGCAUCCACCAACAGCCCUGGACGCGGUCAUUCCUCCGGCUCCAUCGCCAGCAGACCAACGCACGCACACACGCAUACUCCCUCGGGCACACACACACACGCACCCGAGCCCGCCACGGGCCAGUCCCGACGCAUCCGGCGCACACACGCACACGUUCAAGUCCGCCGCGGCUUAUUCCUAACAAUGUAAGGGGGUGAUCUCUAAAACUGUGUCUUGCACCUUCAAGUCACCGCGCACCAACGUCACGAUGCCGGAGGUCGUGAUCGGUUUUUCCCCGCUCCCGAAGACCCGAACUCAUGUUCUCCCUGAUGCGAUGGGCUGGGGAAGAUGUGUUGUCUUAUCGGCUUUGCCAGCGGUUCCGUAUCUCUUGCAGGGGUUAUAUUAAUACUCCCUUCAUUCCCUUAUACAAAGCCACUUCGUUCUCUUGUCAAACUUUGACUUAUAUUUUUUGUCAACAAAAUAUAAAUUAUAUAAUAAAUAAUAUGUCAUUGGAGAGUUCUUUGAAAUGUGCAUACAAUGACGUAUUUUUCAUGGCAUAUAACUCAAUAUUUGUCGGUAAAAUUAAUAGUCAAAAUAGAUAUAAAAAUAUGAAGUGGCCUUGCAUAAGGGAAUGGAAGGAGUAUUAAUAUAUCCUGCUGAUGCACAUUUGACGAUUACUAGAAACUCUAAAUCCUCUGAGAAGCUUUGGAAUAGAACUUCUGAUGCAGCCACACCACGCCUUGCUGGCCUCAUUGAAUUAAGUAUCGAAUUGUGUGCUGAUCUGACCGGCACACCUAAGUAUCGAAUUGUGUGGUGAACUUCCCACCAACAAGUCUUGUUGCCACAUUAGAUUUUUCCUUUCAAAAAGGAGGUUUUGACCCCUGGUCUCUUCAUCCAAAUAUGCACAUAACCAUCUUUAUUAUAUUAUUAAACAAAAUCAGACAAAACAAAUAUAUGGAUCAACCAAAGUGACCUUUCUCACGACCUCUGUUGCUACACCUACAAGCUUGAUUUUUUGUCCUGACCUUGCACCCAACGCACACCAGCUAAUUCGGUGACCUCACCAUGCCACCCAACAGUGAGCAGAGAGCACCAGCCGGUCUAGGAGACCCUCAGUGUGCUCGCAUGUGCACACUCUGGAAUUCGUUGCUGCCAUAUUCUGUUGUCCCACGUUCAGGACGGAUCAACGCAUUCACCUUGCUAGGUCUUCCAAUCGUCUGACGACAUGAGCCACCCAUCCUUAUUUCCAGCAUGAGCCGUGAGCCACCCAUUUUUCUUUCUUUCAAAUGUCACGAUCCCUUCUCUCUACUUCUUCCCUCCGCACAUGUUUCCUCAGUCUCCGCCAUGAGCAAUGCGGCUCAAGCACCCCUACGAUGCUCCAAUCGAGGAUGCACAUGUUGGAGGUUGUGUUGCAAUGCAACAGUUGUUGAUGCCACCGGAGCUGCGAUGCAAUGGUCGCCGACCCCUCUGGAGGUGUGAUGCAGCGGUAGUGAAGUCGCCGGAGCUACUAUGCAGCGGUCGUCGAAGCCGAUGCGUCGAAGCUAGCAUGCAGUGGCCGCUAAGCCGCGGGAGCUGCUAUGUAGCGAGCGUUGAUGUCGAUGCACUGAAGCUGCAAUGCAGUGGCCGCGAAGCCACCAGAGAUCCUAUGCAGCGGCUGCGGGAGCUACGAUGACACCGUCAUCAUCGACGCCGGAGUUGAAAUGCAGUGGUUGCGACGCCGUAGAGAGAAAGCGACACAGCGGUGCGGCGUGAGCAAGGUUGUUCUCGGUGCUUCCAUGCAGCGGUCGUCAGCCUCUGUUGUAGUGUUGUGAUGUAGCAUCGGCGGCUUCCCUGGUGGAUGCUUCGAGAGGAGGAUGCAAAGUGAGAAGAGGAAGACGCUCUGCUGCUAUCUAACAGCCACACAUCUGAAUCAAAUGGCUGCGAAGGCGGCUGAUCUUUUCUAAAAUCAUCCUGCUGAGUUGUACCAGCCGCCAUUUUCUAAUUAGAAUGAAGUUUACGCCAUGUGAUACAUCUGGUACAAAAUCCAAAUAAUUCAAAAAAUAAAAUUAGGAUGGCGUUUACAACAGCCACGAGCGAAGCCAUGUCCACUACAAAAUUAUUACACGUCAAAACUGUAGGCUUUCGUAAAACCAAGCUAAAGCAGAGCGCUAGUCUAAUCAUUAUUUUCUUUAUGCAUCACAAAUGAAUGAUAUGUUCAUACAGCUUGAACAGGACGAAGGCACCAUUGUGGGCCAUGACAAUCUGAAAGCGUAUAUUUCCAACUAUUAUAAAAACCUUUUUGGACCCCCCAAUACUUCCACGGUGUCUCUUGAUGAGUCUGUGAUCGAUGAUAUACCUCAAUUGCAGGCAGCAGAGAACGAUGUUCUCUCUGCACCGUUUACUGAAAAGGAAGUGCAUCUGGGCAUAACCCAAAUGAAGCCGAAUAAAGCACCGGGACCAGAUGGGUUUCCAGCUGAAAUCUAUAAGAAAUGUUGGCAUAUCAUUAAAGAUGAUCUUAUGCCUAUGUUUCAUGACUUUUUUUAUGGCCAUUUGGAGUUGUUUCACCUCAACUUUGGUACGAUAAAUGUUGUUACCUAAGAAGAAUGAGGCGGUUCGGAUCGAACAAUUCCGUCCCAUUUGCCUGCUGAAUGUGAGUUUUAAAAUUUUCACAAAGGUAGGGACCAAUAGAUUGACACAAAUUGCUCACUCAGUGGUUCAACCUAAUCAAACAGCUUUCAUGCUGGGACGACACAUACUAGAAGGUGUGGUCGUCUUGCAUGAAACUCUUCAUGAGAUUCACUCGAAGAAACUAGACGGGGUUAUCUUCAAAGUGGAUUUCGAGAAGGCUUAUGAUAAAGUAAAAUGGCCUUUUCUUCAACAGGCAAUGCGUAUGAAGGGUUUUAGUGAAACCUGGAGGAACCAAGUAGAUACUCAAGUCCAGAAGGGUAGUGUCAGAAUUAAGGUGAACGAUGACAUCAGUCACUACUUCCAGACGCAUAAGGGGUUGAGACAAGGGGAUUCCAUGUCACCUCUUCUGUUCAAUAUUGUGGCAGAUAUGUUGGCCGUCAUUAUUGGCAGGGCUAAGCAGCAUGAUCAUGUAGAGGGUCUAGUUCCUCAUCUAGUAGAUGGAGGGGUGUCCAUUCUACAAUAUGCUGAUGAUACUAUUCUUUUCAUGGAACAUGACUUGGCUAAGGCACGAAACAUGAAACUUAUCUUAUGUCUUUUCGAACAAUUGUCUGGCUUAAAAAUUAAUUUUCAUGAGAGCGAGGUGUUCUGCUUUGGGAAAGCCAAAGACGAGGAACAUACAUACAGACAAUUGUUUGGAUGUGAUUUACGUGCUUUACCAUUCACUUAUUUGGGUAUUCCGAUUCAUCACCGUAAGCUGUCCAAUAAAGAAUGGAAAUGUAUUGAAGAACGAAUUGAAAAAAAACUCAGCUGCUGGAAGGGCAAGCUGAUGUCAUAUGGCGGUCGGCUAGUUUUGAUUAACUCAGUUCUGACCAGCAUGCCAAUGUUUUUACUUUCGUUCUUCGAAAUUCCGAAAGGGGUCCGGAAGCGACUUGAUUUCUUUAGAUCUCGUUUCUUUUGGUAGUCUGAUGAGGCCAAGAGGAAAUACCGCCUCGCACGAUGUGGAUAUCCUGUGUAGACCAAAAGAUCAAGGGGGGCUUGGUAUUGAGAACUUAGAAAUUAAGAAUAAAUGCCUUAUGAGCAAAUGGUUAUACAGGUUAGAGACAGAGCCGGAGGGCAUGUGGUCUCAAAUCCUGCGUAAUAAGUAUUUGCACACGAAAACGCUUGCCCAGGCUAUCAUCAGACCCACUGAUUCGCCGUUCUGGAAGGGACUCAUGAGAGCGAAGGACAUGUUCUUUCGUAGGGUCAAAUUCUUGGUUGGCAACGGGAUGUCAACAAGAUUUUGGGAGGAUACGUGGCUAGGAGAGACGCCUCUGGUCUAACAAUAUCCUACCCUCUACAAAUAUUGUGCAACGUAAGGAGGAGUACGUAGGUAUAGUCCUUCAAACUAUCCCCUUGAAUAUCCAGUUCAGACGUAUGUUAGUGGGUGAGAGGUGGACAGCCUGGAUGCACUUGGUUCGGAGGUUGAUUGAAGUUCGACUCUCCGACAUGCCGGACUCAACAAAAUGGAAGUUAACUAAAAGUGGGAUAUUUACAGUGAAAUCUUUUUAUACGGAUUUGAUUAAUUCUGGCCCCCUCUCAAGGUCUUUGCCUAUUUGGAAGGUUAGAGUUCCUUUGCGGAUUAAAAUCUUUAUGUGGUUUGUUCACAAGCAAGUUAUUCUCACAAAGGACAACCUUCUUAAGAGGCGAUGGGUAGGAAACUCGCGUUGUUGUUUUUGUGCUCAGGAUGAGACAAUACAACAUUUAUUUAUUGAAUGCCCACUUGCCAAGUUACUUUGGAGAACGAUCCGGUAGAUAUUGCGUCUAUGUUUGGGACGUGGUUAGCUGGGAUUGAACAGAACAUGGCAGCUCGUAUUCGGAUUGGAAUAUGCGCGCUAUUAUGGGCCAUAUAGAACUGCAGAAAUGAUAUGAUUUUUAACAGGCGACACAACUUAACUUUUUUGCAGGUUAUCUUCAGAGCUACAGCUUGGAUCUGUACGUGGUCCUUACUCACUCCUAUGGACUCCAGGGAGCCUUUGGUUACUGGGUGCAACCAAUGGGAGAUGGUGGCUCGGGGUAUAUUCAACCGGUUCGGAUGGCGUUCACAUAAUAGGAUAGGAGUCUAGAGAGCUUAUCCUUAUUUUUAUCGUUUCGGUUGUCUUUGCCUGCUUGUAUUUUUCUAGUUUUUUGUUUUCUGUUUUGCUCCGUUUGCGAGUUGUAAGACAAUCAUGACGUUACUUUCUGGUUUUUAAUAAGAGGGCCGUAUGCUUCAUCAUGAUGCAGAGGCCAGGGGCAUGCCUCCAUUUCCAAAAAAAAUGAAUGAUAUGUUUGAAUCCCCCCUUGAGUAAAAAGUUUAGAGCACAUUAGUCUAAUCUGGCUACACAUGUUACCUUCACGUAACUUGGACCAAUGGAACAUCUGGAGAAUGUCGCUGAUUCACCUUACUCAGCUCCACUGGAAGCACCCGUAUGCCCGUGUCUUCAUGCGGUCAGCGCACCACUCUCCUUCAACGCUUCAAGAGUACCACACCCGCGUUUGUCGCCUCGCCAACCGCCUAUCUAGCUGCGCUGCCGAUCAGGCCAAUGCCUCUGGUCUGAGCUUCGUCGAAAGCCUUCCAUGUGACUACUUCAGCUAUAUGACUGAGAUCCAGCUCGGCAUGCCGGCAAAGACUCACAAUGUGUUGGUUGAUACCGCAUUGUCCUUGUCUUGGUUUGGAUGCGAGCCUUCAUUGACUGAUGCCCAAGUCCAAUCUUCGAACCCAACACGCCCUCCACGUAUAACAUGGUAGGGUGCAGUUUGGUGCUCUGCAACGUCAUCUUUUUAACCAUUGUGUCCUGCAAAAGUUGCAUCACGCCAUCUCAGCGGUACUCAUACAACCAGACGGUGGUGUCGCCAACACUGGUGAGGCCAGGCCUAGCAUGUGCAGCUCAUACAACCAGACGGUGGUUUUAGGGCUUGUUGUCACUGCUCAACCAUACAUGCCACCACCAGUUUGCCACUACAUUGUUAAUCAAUGCAUUCGAUGACAAGAAUUACACACCUGUUUUCCUUCAUAGCCAGAUUGAAUUCUUGACAUUGUUCGUUUAGGAAAACAACUGGUUUUGAGACCAAUGCCUACAUGCUUUCUUCUGAAGCAAAAUAUAGCUAGCUGGCUUACUACUGGAGUGUAAGGACCGGACACACUUACUUGCGAUGGACUGCAUAUAUACCAGCCACGCAGCUCUAUCAUGUGGUUAUGGGUUUACUAAUGCAUGCCUUCAUGUAAUUCGUUAGAUAAUUGCUAUAUAGGAGUAUUAUUUUUCUCAUGCAUCACAUGUCGGGUCUUGCAUGAGGAAUGCAUGCAUGUAUGCACUAACAUACAUGACUCUAAAUGAAUGGAAGUGUCUGUUGNNNNNNNNNNNNNNNNNNNNNNNNNNNNNNNNNNNNNNNNNNNNNNNNNNNNNNNNNNNNNNNNNNNNNNNNNNNNNNNNNNNNNNNNNNNNNNNNNNNNGGGGGGGGGGGCAUUUUGGCAACCUCUUCUCCCUUCAGACUACUAGCCACCAGCCAGAGAGGUACAUACUAAUUCUUCAAAAGUUAUUAAUACUAGUUUGUCUCUGUCUAGAUGUUUUCCUUCUCUGAUAUGAAUGUUUGCUUGUAAAAUCCUACACCUAAUCUAGCUCUCUAUUAACAUGUCAAAAGUAACUGUUACUCUGUAUAGAAAUAUAAGAGCGCUUGGAUCACUAAAGUAGUGAUCUAAAUGCUCAUAUAUUUCUUUACUCAAAAAGUGCAAGCUACAUUCCUGACUACUAGCUUUAUUAGGAAUUUCUUUGGUUACUUUUUAGUAUCGCUUCUUUGGCAGUCAUAUAUACAGUGAUCCUUACUAUCUUAGAUUACCAAAUAACCAUCCUGCCUUUGGCAGGCAAUGUUUUCUCUCUCGUUCUCUCUCUCAUCAUCACUUGUACAUGCCUCUCGAAGCUCGCUAGAGAUUCUUGAAUAACAACGUGCUAUGUUUUCACAUGGGUGUUCAGGUACGCUAAGAGUAUGUUCUCUAGUCAGAACAACCGAUAUACAAUGAUUAGUUAUGAUUAGAUGCUAGGUCAAACCGAGGGCAGAGGGAGACAAUGAGACCAAGAAAAUAUGUGUGUGCACAGGAUGGUGGUGUCGUGUGUUUCAUUCACCUUGGUCUUCAUCGGAAUUGUAAAAAAAAUCUUGUAUCACACAACCACGCAGGCUCCAGUAAAAGAACACGGAGAACAUGAGGAAACACGGAGAGCAGCAUCCACGUGCACGCGAACCCGAUGUACUCGCUCGGCUCCGCCACCAUCGCGGCGAGCUUGUCGUCGUCCUUCUUGGGAACAGGAUUCUCGACGUCGGCCAUCGAGGGUACCUCCUUCUUUUGCUAGGCUGACCCCCGGUCGACGAUCGAUCGAGCUAGUAGGCAGGUGCGUCGAUGAUGAGAUCACGCGAGAGCAGAGAUAUGCUCUUGUAUGUGCAGGUGCAGUGUGCUACUCCUGUCCGUGCUCUGCUGCAGCCGCCGAAUUUUGGUCCCAGUUGGAGUCCUUCCAUUGGAUAUAUUGUACCGUACUGGCGUCGACUUGGCUGAUCCAGUCGAGUGGUUCGAUUCGGUUCCAGCACGGACAGCCCUCCCUCCUCCUGUCUCAAUUGAAGUCAACCUUACUAUACUCGCUUGUAGGAGAUCAUCGGUCAGAAGGGCGUUCUUUCGCUAGAAAACAAGAGUUUGAAGAUCACCCAACCCACGAAAAGGUCAGAACUCUCGAUCUAGCCCCACUUUCGAUAGCAAUUUAUCGACAUGUUGUUUCGAAUGUACUUGACUGAUGUUGACUUGCGUUUUUUUUUUUUGCGGGAUGAUGUUUUUUUCAAAUAAACAUCACACUUUAUUGAUUAGAAAUAACAGUUACAUCGUCAAAAAGAAAUGAUACAAUGUCAUCCAUAGGCUCCUCACGCCAAUCCUUAGUCUCGGAAAAUUUCGCUAAUCUAGUAUGUUCAUGAGCAACCUUAUUUGCAUCCCUAUUAUAAUGGGCAGCACUACGCGCUGGUGCGCCGGUCCAAAUUUGGGCCGGUCCGCAGGCAGCCGUACGAUCCAGCAUACAACUGCCGGAAAAUUUGCUUUCGUGCUCAUCUUAUCUACAAUGUGAUUCGGAUGUACAGAAACAUGACCAUCACUGAAAAUUUGGUGAUUUGAAGAUUUAGCACCAGUUGUUCUUUCCCGGUCCCUGCAAUGCAAAAGAUGAUGUUAGGCAAAAAUAUUUACCUACAAUCAAUGAACUUUUACUAUUGGUAGAUCUGUUUUGUGCUCAUCUCUACUACAAUGUGAAAUGAAUGUACAGGUACUAAAAAUUCAACAAUUGUUGUUAAACGACUAAGCAUAUGUUGUUCUUUCCAGGUCCCUGCAAUUUAAAAUGUGGUGCAAGGCCGUGAUGCGUAGCUACAACUGAAGAUUUCCCCCAAAAUUGUAUGGGAUGACCUUUCUCAUUCAAUCAGUGCACAGUUAAAAUAUGUUGGUAUUGGUGAACUACAUGGCGGGUUAUUGUCGCAAAUCCAUUGAUGUAUGAAAUCUCAGUAAUUGCAUAAUGCACAUGGUUCUUCUUUGAAUCUAGGAUAUGAUUUUAUUUUUCUAUGGUGAUAAUCAUUAGAACAUGCUCAAUUUUUCAUUUUGACACAUUUAGUUCUUGCAUAUUGUUUUCUAUUAUAAAUUGCCUGCUUUGAGAUACUCACCAACUUCUCUUCUGUGUGUUGCACUUACAAAAUUUUGGUCUAGAAAGAUUUGCAUGAUCUCCAAUUGCCUCUAAAAGUGCUCUACUUCAAAGUUGUUUACUCUACUCUCUUGAGUCGGGAAAAUUUACUUCAGUUCAAAAGUUGUCUUCCAUGCUUUAUAGAGCUACCAUAUUAUUCGUACCAAAGUUGUCAUGGCAACUUCGACAUCGAUAUUGUGACAACAUUGGUAGUGGCAAGUUUAUCAAAAACCGAAUGGCAACUUUUAUGAUGAUUUUUCUUUUACUGAAACGUAGUCAUAUGGGUCUAGAUUGUCAAUCAGGCGGUUUAAGCUACUAAACACUUCUAAUCAUGUAUGAACACAAAACCCGUGAAACGUGCAUGCCUUGUUGAAUUUGAUUUAUUACUUCUUGCAUGCUAUUAGGGAAUUAGAAAAUUGACUUCUAUGACCACAAAGUGCAUACAGUACAUGCAACAUGAUGGAUCGGAUGGCAAGCACUGUGGCAGCAGGCGAAAGAGAUGGUGCGGAAGUUCGUUCUCAAUAUCCAAAAGGAUGUGUGAUUUCCUCAUGUUUAUUGGAUAUUGACUUGAAAAAUCAAGUGUUUGGCUUGAAUCUAACAUUUGCUUGUUUGGUUUGAGAUUUCAAAUCAACUCGAACAAUGCAGAAGAUAUUACAUAAACCGAAUAAACAAAACUACAUUUUCUUUUUAUUUCUUCAGUGGUCAAUGGUUGACCGGUCAAUAAUUGACCAGUACACAGUUCAAUCGUUGCCUUUUAAAAAGUACGAAGUUUUUUAAAUAUCCAGUUUUCUGUUGGAAAUUUUGAAAACAAAUAGUGAAUUGAAAAAUGUUUACGGAUUCUUAAAAAUAUAUCAUAAAUUUGAAAAGGUGCCCCGAAUUGGAAAAAUGUUCAACAAUUUUGAAAUAAAAAUCACUAACUUGCAAAAAAGUUCAUCAAUUUCGAAACGGAAAUUAAAACUUUGGAAAAUGUUCAUCCAUUUUGAAAAACUUCUCAUAUUUCAAAUUUGGGAAAAAGUUCAUCAAAUUUGGAAAACAUCUAUGUAAUCAGUCCUUGUGAGCUGGUUAUCGCGUCUAACAUUGAACUGGCACGUGGUGAUUAAAAUCCCACCUCGUUCGCAUUUUUGCAGUUCAAAGAAAAAGUGUGAAAUUGGCCAGGCCAAAGUGACGAGGGGGAUCCGGUAAAUGCCAGCCAUUAGCCACAUGCGCUCAUUGUUCACAUGCCAUGCACCAUGUUUUGCCUUUUUUUAAAUGCUUAAUACAAAAAUUCAAAUAAAGUUACCUUUUUAAAAGUGUUCAUCACACAUAACAAAAUUCGCUCUAUGCAAAAAAAAGAUCAGUCAACUUAUAGAAAAUAUUUGUACCAUUCAAAAUAAUAUUCGUGAUACUCUUUACAAAUGUUUAUAAAAUUUUAAAUAAAACAUUAGCAUAAUUCUAUAAAAUUGUUUCAUGUCAUCAAAAUAAUUUACACUGAAUUCAAAACAUUAUCUCACAUUUAUAAAAAUAUGUUCAUAAUUUUUUGAAGUGUUUAUAAAUUGAAUGACAAAUAUUCCUGUACUUAAAAAAUGUUUUGUUACAUAGACAAUAUAUACAACGUGUAUUUCAAAAGUGUUAAUCAUGUAUCUUUUUGAUGAGAUUGCUGGUGAUCUAUUUGAAAAAAAAUUCAAAGAUUAUAAAAUUGUUCCAAUGUAUAUGGAAUAUGUACAAAUUGUAUUAGAAAUUUUGUUACCAUGUAUUAAAAAAUGUUCAAAACAUGUAUUGCAAAAACAUUAAUCGUGUGUUCAAGAUGUAUACGAAAAAAGUACAAUGUGUUUUGAAUUUUUUAACACGUAUCCUAAUAAAUAUUAAUCAAUUAUUAAAAAUAUUCAACAUGUAAGAUUGUUCCCUAUGUAUACAAAAAACGCUCGCCAUGUAUUUGAAAAGUAUUAACACGUAUUAAAAAAUUCAAUUUUCAUAUACAAAAAGGCUAAUAUAUAUUUGAAAAAUGUUCAACGUGUAUAAAAAAGUUUUGCAAGUCAUACAAAAAAUAUACAACAUGUAUUUGACAAAAGUAGAAAGAAAACCUUGAAGAAACCCGUAAAUGGAACACAAAAAACCGAAUCCCAGAAGAAAAAUAGGGUAAAAACUAACUGAGAAAUCAAAGAGAAAAAAACCCGCACAGAAACUGCUGUCGAGGAACCUGUAUCUUGCUGUCCCAUCUAUUACUCGCCUAAUGUGGAAUUGUUUCACAUUAGGUUAGAUUUAACCCUUGAGCACAUGGCCUACUUCUGGCUAGGACGAACACAUUAGUUUGGACCCCAAUUAAAUGCCCCUGGACUUUGAGGACCCCGUGCAUUCAAACAUGCCCAUCAGCGUCUCUGAUGAUGCUGAUGGGAGGUGAAGGGAAUCUGUUGCUUCUAUUCCCAUCCAAUGCGAGAAAUCCCUCUCAAGUCUAUGGUGCUGACAAGUGGCAAAAAAUCCACUCGACCCUCGACCUUGCCCUUGCUGGUGAGACGGGCCAACUGCUUGGACUUGGCCAUGCCCAAUUUGAGGCACUGGUUACUGGUGUCCCAAAAACAAAUGUCUUAUAAUUUCAUGACUGCAAUUAGUACUAGCUAGGCGUCCCACCAAUUGCUCGUUGGUGUAGUACUUUAUUUGUUGUGGAUUGUAGUUUAACACUGAGGUGUAAAGAAAUAAGUAUUUGGAGAGAUGGAUACUAACUUUUCAGUAUAGAUUCUAAAAAGAACAAGCUUUUCGUUACGACAUUGCUAUGUAUAUAAGGUAGGUUAGCUUAAUGGUAUUUAAUUCCACCAUGUUCAUCAUACAUCCUUAGACACUAUGUGUGAUACUAUCACACAAGAGUCAGUCGUCCAAUCAAUGAACCUUACUGUCAUGUGGCGUUACCUCGGUUAUUAAAAAUAAUUAUUUAGACAAAAGCAUUAGACAUUUAAUGACAACACCUCAUAUUUCCCCUAAUGAAUUUCUUUCUGCUACUAUACUAAAUCUUUCUGUCGCUGGUAUUCACAAUCGCGUUCCAUGCAUCCUUGCUUCUUACCUCCUCCCUGAUCGAUCUACAGCAUCCUGGAUGCCUGCAGGGCCUUAGAAAGUAGAAUACAAAAGAAAACCCCGAUGAAAUCUAUUACAUAUAAAAAGUAAUUGACGGGUUCACCAGAAAAAAGGGAAAUAUGCUAAGAAAUCUCAUGAAAAACAGAAACAUCAGACCGUCUAUUAAAUAGACUAAAAUUUUAUAACCAUCAGAUCAGUUUUUAGUAUAAAAAUUACCCACCACUUCCAUUAUUAUAAGAAGAAAAUCGUUUCAUGCAUCCCGUUAUUAGGACGUGGGCACAAGUCAAAAGUGGGUUGUUUUUUCUAAAGGGAAGUGCCAUCCACCUAGGCCUUUUAUAAUAAAAAAAAACUUUUGGGCAUUAGCUUAUAGAAAGAAGGGACAUGGGCUGAUGUUUAUUAGAAAAAUAGGGCGUGCGCACAUUGUCCCUUUAAAGAAAGAGUAUGUGCUUUAUUUCUGUGAAAACUAGAUGUCGGUUCAUGCGUCCCACAAAAAAGGGAGACCAUGCAUGCGGUAUAUGCGCGUAUCAAAAAUUCCAGUAUUUCUAUAAAAUAUUAGAUGAAUGGAAAUUAGGAACUAUAAGAAAACUAUGAAAUUCAAAAUUCUAUGUAACUUCUUAUGUUUGUUGUGUUCCACAAAAAAAAAAGA
Molecule: long non-coding RNA, 87269 nt
Filed under: Triticum aestivum (bread wheat)
Lineage: Eukaryota; Viridiplantae; Streptophyta; Magnoliopsida; Poales; Poaceae
Description: long non-coding RNA (TAES_LNC018735)
Rfam family: MIR1120/MIR1122 microRNA precursor family (bases 2430-2516)
Source: RNAcentral